CUGCUAGAGUUCCUUGUGGGCCAAGGUCGCCUCUCUAUUAUAGAAAUAAUUAUUCUUACAUGAUGAAACAUGGAUUUCCAAAAUACCACUCUUCCAUUAUGGAAAGAAACCUGUUGGGGCCUUCAAGAAUCAUGAACCCGCAUGCACCCGAGUUUGUGCCAAUGAGAGGUUGGCAAAUAAAUCCUGGAUAUGCAGAUUCAAAUGUUUCAAAUGAGUCGAACUCUUCAAACGACACAAGUGAGGCAGACGAUGAGAAACUUGACAAAAUGUCCAGUAUUCAAGGCGAGGAUAAUACCUCAAGAAAGAGCAGUACAGAGGCGGAGAAUUCAGAGCUGGCAAGACAGAUACUACUUAGCUUCAUUGUAAAGUCAGUCCAGCAUAAUAUGGAUGCUCCAAGUCAUUCUUCAGGCUACGAAAAGAAGAUUGGGUAUUCAGAAAAUUCUUCAGAUGCAAUUGCAAAUGAUAGUGCUAUCAUAAAGAUCCUUUAUGGAAAUGAAAAGGGCAAAACAAACUUGGCAUCUCAGUCCAAUGAUCAAGAACAGCAAAAACCCAAAGAUGAAAACCAAAAAAGUGGGGAUGGUGAAGGAUUUAUAGUUGUCAGAAAACGGAGAAGAAACCGACAGCAGAUCACAAAUGGGGUCACUGAGAUGUACAAUCAUCAAUCCAUCUGUGCUUCUGUUCGUUAAAAGAGAGCAAAGCAAUAAAAUGCAAAGGUGCCGUCCUGUUUCUCCCAAUUUUAUUCGAAAAAUUUGUUAGUGAAUGUUGCUGUUGUAGAGAUGGUUAAAGUUUGGAGCAAGUUUUAAUCAAUACUUGAUUGUAUCAUUUUAGAUAUCCUCUCUGGAUGUUCUAAUAAAAUAUUUGUACAAAUCGGUUUCUUGUUUUGUUAAGAGAUUUUGUUUUGAUCAAUAAAUGAUGAUAAAUUAAUUGGGCGAUUUUCCUCAUCAAGAGAUCUGUGAUGUUGUUCUAUAAUGGAUUUUAAUGUUUUAGACUGAGAUUUGUAGUUAUGCCUCAAAUUAUUUGGUAUUUGGUUGGUGCGUGUGAACAAUACGUUCGGAAUGGAGUUGAAUUGACCCACUGAUAGAUAGCUUACAUUUGCAGCUGAAGUUGCUGCAUUGAUGAUAUUACAACUAACAUAGUAGUUGGCAAAAUUCCUUAUUCAAUUUAAAUUUGCAAUCAACAGAAACUGAAGAAGAAGCCGUAAGUUUAAUCCUAAUGGAUGCAUAGCUGUUUGGAGAAAAGCCAACGGAGACAUAACACAGCACGAUAAGUUAUACACGGCAGAACCGUAUGUGCUAGUAAGCACAGUCACCGAUGGAAAACAUAUUUGAAAAGCCAAUAGUAGCAUGUGUCAAUACAUCUAUCAAUGAAAUAGAACCACAGUCUGCGCCAGUACGAGUUUAUCCAAAGUGCUGCAAAUAAACCCAAAAUUACUGACACAUAGGAUGCUCCAAAACUCCAUCUUAAUGCCACCAUAUCAAUCACAGAAUCGCCUUCAUCUUCUCCUCCUCCUGUAGGUGUCGCUGGUGGUGCCAACGCACUGCUGCAUUUCCUCUUUAUCAUUGAGCCACAAAGAGCCGAAUUACCUUUAUAACUGCUGUCAUCAAAGGUGGCAAACUGCUCUUUGUCUGGGAUUGGGCCGGACAAAUUGUUGUAUGACACGUUGAAGUUUGAUAAAAAGUUGAGAUCAGUUAGUUGAGGAGGAAUUCGGCCACUUAAUUUGUUGCGGGAAAGGUCCAGGCUCUCUAUCAUUUUCAGAUUGGAGAAGCUCUCUGGUAUAGCACCUGAUAGUAAAUUAUUCGACAGAUUAAGUGCACGAAUAUGUUGAAGAUGCCCAAUUUCCCAUGGAAUUUCUCCACUGAACUCAUUGCUCGACAAAUCCAGUCCAGCCAUGUCGACGAGACUGCGACCGAUGAAAAAUUCAUAUCUAUACUUUGUCACAAAUUCUACACCUACUUGUCUAGCAUGUCGUUCACCUUGCGGCGGCUGAUCAAGAGUGGAAUUGUAGAAAGUAAAACUGAGAUCACGAGUUGACACAGCAAAUCCGGGUAUAAUAUUUGGAUAUAUCACUUCAUAUCUGUUUACAUGUGGAUAAUCAUCAAUCGCUUCUCUCCAGAAUGACACGUUACCCAAGCAUGAAGGUAUCGGCCCAUUAAGUCUGUUAUGUGAAAGAUCCAUGAUACCUAAUUUUCUUAAUAGGCACAACUGAUUAGGAAUACGUCCUUGUAGAGAAUUCCCUCUCAAAAGAAGAAAAUGCAAAUUCGAAAGCUCGUUGAUCUGAUGAGGAAUCCUACCAAAAAGCUUAUUGUCCCUCAAAUCUAGAGUCAAUAAUGUAGAGCUUCUAAGCAAUGCAAUUGGAAUUAACCCAUUAAUUGCAUUGUUAUGCAGAUAAAUGUGCUCCACUGAUGAAAGAUUGGAGAGAGAUACCGUGGACCCAGACAAACUAUUUUCGGAGAUGUCUAUAAACUCAAGACCUUCAAGAUUGCCGAGCUGGACCGGAAUAGUACCUUGCAAAUAAUUUUUUGACAUUAAAAGAACCCGAAGGCCUGAGAAGUUGCCAAUCCAGUGGGGAAUAUCGCUGGAUAACUUGUUGUUGGAUACAUCUAAUACCCCCAGCAAAGGGGAGUUCAACAAACCAUCUGUCAUCUUCCCACUGAAAUGAUUGUUGUCCAAAAGUAAGGAACGCAAAUGAGUCAAGUUCAUAAAAUUGGGAAAAAGUUGGCCAUAGAAAUUGUUAUUUGAUAGGUCCAACAUUUCUAAGGAGAGGCAACUAGAGAAUAUAGAUCGAGGUAAUUCUCCUGAAAAAUUAUUUCUAGAAAAAUCCAAAGUAAUUAGCUCUUUCAUCUCACUGAUUGAAUAAGGAAUAUUACCUUCAAAACUAUUUUUUGACAUAUCCAAAUAUAUCAAUUUCUGAAAGAUAAUACCCAAAUUCUCUGGUAGCUUACCAGAAAAAUUGUUACUGGAAAUAUCUAGAUAACGAAGCUUAUCGUAUUUGGCGUUGGGAAGUCGCGGAAGAAUUCCUGAGAAUGAGUUAUUCCACAAAAUCAAAACUUCUAAUCCUGUGUUGUUUUGCAACAACCAAGUUGGGAAAUUGCCAACCAACUGAUUGUGAGAGAGAUCAAGGAAUUUUAAGUUGUAUUGGUGUAAAAGAAAACUGGGAUUGACAUUUAAGUGGCAGUGAGAUAAUUGGAGAACCUUGAGAGGAUAUGUGGGGAGCCAGUUUUCGGUUUUCACUUGCAACAUAUCGUUUCCUGACGAGAGUCGCAAGACCUCAAGCUUUGAAUGAUUAGCCAAUGAAUUUAUUGAGAAUGUUCCUUGGAAAUCGAUGAAAGAGAGAUCCAAAUAUUCAAGUGAUGUGAGGUUGGUCAAGGCAGAAGGAAAGUUUCCACUUAACUGAUUGUAAGAAAUAUCAAGAACUUUGAGAUGGGUCAAGUUGUUGAGGCACUGAGGAAGGUGAACCACAAAAUUAUUUGACUUUAAAUCCAACUCAAGAAGAUUCUUCAAAUUACAUAUUCCUGAAAGUGAAAAUAAAAAGCUCAGAUUUCAUAAAACGAAAACUAAUUAUAGCGCAUUCAAUCAUAAACCCAAUAUAAGACUUAUAAAACGGACAUGAAAUCAAAUUGUCUAAGUAUUUUGGUCAACAUAAAUAAUAAUAGAAUGAUAUGAAUUUAUUUCUCAUAUAAUAUGAUGUUGAUUGCAAAAGCGUUUCAAUUAAUCUAACAAAAUAAUAAUAAUAAUAAUAUAAAAGCAGUCAGCAAUUCUUGCUCAUCAUAAUCCAUUCAAAAAGCGUUUCAGCAAUUCUCGUUGUUUAAAAUAAUGAUUUUCCGAGGAAGAGUUUGUUGACUUCGUCUUUUUCGUUGGAUAUUCGUUCUCUAAUCUCUAAAUUUGUUGGAUAAUGUAAAGAGAAACUCAUAAUAUAUUAGUUGCUUUCUUAAACUUUAUUUAUUCCUCUCAUAGCAUUAAACAAAACUAUUUGCCCUAGCAGAAAAAAAAAAAAAAAACUGGUCUUUAUAUUUAAUUUGGUGAAAGUACUUUGACCAACAAGUCACUGGGAAGUAGGAAUUGUGCAUCAGUAAUGCAAAUAUUGGGUGCGUUGGCAUUGUUUUUAUAUGCUGUUUUUUAUUUUUUGAUUUUAGAAAAUAUUAGAUACGUGUUCGGUAGAUUGUUUCUGAAAAUAUUUUUAAAAAUAUAAAAUUCAUUCUACACAUUUUAACAAAAGAAAUGAGAAACAAUUUUUUCUUAUUUUCCUUAUUUCCCAAUACAAAAUUAAGUUCCAAAAUGAAGAAUUCUCUGUACCUCCUCCUGAAAUAAUAAUAAUAUCAACAUUAUUAUUAUUAUUAUCAUUAGGUCUAAUUAUCUCUGGGUGACAGAUGUUUUAAUAAAUUUCAAAAAGAUGACACAUGUUUUGAAAACACUCGAGUGGGUGACAUUCCAUUAACUUUUGUUGUUAAUUUUAACCAGUCGAGGGUAGAAUUGAAAAAAUAAUUUUUUUUUUCAUAAAGCCAAAGAGAUGAAAAUAUUGAAUUUAUACAAUACUUUAUAAUUCAUAAGAUUUUUGCUUCUUUAUAUUCACAAAUCAGUUUGAUCAACAAGAAUUUUUUUAAAAUUUAUUUGAUUUAACAAAAAAAACUUGUUAAUUAGACUUAUGUUUAAUUUUUUUUUAUAUUUUCUAUUUAAAAAAUUAAAAAUGAGUGAGUAUGGGCAGAAACAUCAUUUUGUGGGGUAGAAACGUCAUUUAAUUUACUAUUCCCAUUAAAAUUAAUGACAAAAGUUAAUAGAAUGUCACUCGCUCGAAUAUUUUUAAAAAAUGUCAUCUUCUUAAAAUUUGUUAAAACAUAUGUCACCUAUUUGUUAAACAUAUGUCACCUAGAGAUUAUUAUUCUUAUUGUUGUUGUUGUUGUUGUUGUUGUACCCAAAGACUCAAUUUCCUUCACAAAAAUCUUUUCUUUUUAUAUACAUUAUAAUAUUUAUGUUUUUAUAUAUUAACUAAAUCAAAUAUGUAGGGUUUCUCAUUUUUCUUUGAACAAAAAAAUAGAAGGAUCACCUAAUUUAUUCUUAAAAUUAAAAUAAUCAAUAUACAUUGCUUAAUCUUAAGUUUAUGGAAAUUAUUCCAAUAAUAAUUCUUUGAGAUAUUCUUACCAAACAUAUUUAUGUUUUUCUCAUUUUUCAGAUUAUUUUUGAAAAUGAUACUGAACACAUUUUUAAAUUUUAAAAAUAAAUUUCAAAAUAGCAUUUUCAUUUUUAUUUUGUAAAAACAACAAUUAGAAAACAAUAUUGGGCUAUUAUUUAUCAUGUUUCAACAUAAAAACACAGUGUAAAUUGUUUAAUAUGGGUUUCUAGAGAAUUUUUUAUGUUACUAUUACUCAAAUUCAAUGCUUCCAAGCUUUUGAAUUUAGCUAAUCUUGCAUCAAGAAUUAAUGAACAUAAGAAAAAAAAAUUUCAUUCAGAACUAUAAAUAUUGAAAUAAAGAUAGAUAUCAUUGUUGAUCUUUUUAUAAAAAUGAUUUAGAAUUAAGAGAGAGUGAAAGAAAUGAGCGGGUUAUGUCGGAAAUUGGUGAUAGAGUAUAUCAAGUACUACACUUUGUAUAGAAAGCAGUGCUUCUAAUUUAAAUUUGAUCUAGUUUAAAGCAAUUAAAAAAUGGAAAUAUAUUAUCAUCUUGAUUAACAUCUAAAACAAUUUUAUCAUUGGAGGAAGUGAAUUGUUAUAUACCUUGAAUUGUAGUUAUCCCACAAUAACCAAGACCCAAUGUUUUCAAGUUUGGCAAAUCUGCGAAUCCUACAUGCGUCGAUAAAAAAUGAAAAUAUUACAUUUAAAGGCAUUGUAUGUGAUCCGCGUGUUUGAUGAACGUUAACUCUACAUUUAAUUUGCUUCUUAUCUCAAAUUCAGUGGCCUACCUAGCGUUGUCAGAUUUUGAUUAUCGCUUAAAUACAACACUUGCAGGUUUGUCAAAUUUGCUAAUCCUGCUAAAAAAAACAUAAAUUUUGUCAAUAACAGAUAUGUCACUCUCGUCUAAAUUGUUUAGUUAAAAUAAUAUGGUAAAUAUUGAAUGAAAAUUAACUGUGCACAUUGUUAUUUUUUUGUUUCUAUGGAUAUUUUAAUAUAUACCGUCACUUUUAGCAUUACCAAGAUUUGGAGUGUUUGAAUCAUAAUUUGUAAAUUAGUUUGCACUUUGAGUAAACUUGAAAAUGUGAAAAAAGCAAUUAAAAAAAAUGCAAAUAUAUUAUCAUCUUGAUUAACAUCUAAAACAAUUUUUGUCAUUGGAGGAAGUGAAUUGUUAUAUACCUUGAAUUGUAGUUAUCCCACAAGAACCAAGAUCCAAUGUUUUCAAGUUUGGCAAAUCUGCUAAUCCUACAUGCACCGAUAAAAAAUGAAAAUAUUACAUUUAAAGGCAUUAUAUGUGAUCCAUGCGUUUGAUGAACAUUAAUUCUACAUUUAAUUUGCUUCUUAUCUCAGAUUCAGUGGCCUACCUAGCGUUGUCAGAUUUUGAUUACCGCUUAAAUACAACACUUGCAGGUUUGUCAAAUUUGCUAAUCCUGUUAAAAAAAGGUAAAUUUUGUCAAUAACAGUUAUGUCACUCUCGUCCAAAUUGUUUAAUUAAAACAAUAUGGUAAAUAUUGAAUGAAAAUUAACUGUGCACAUUGUUAUUGUUUUUGUUUCUAUUGAUAUUUUAAUAUAUACAGUCACUUUUAGCAUUACCAAGAUUUGGAGUGUUUGAAUCAUAAUUUGUAAAUUAGUUUGCACUUGGAGUAAACUUGAAAAUGUGAAAAAAGCAAUUAAAAAAAUGCAAAUAUAUUAUCAUCUUGAUUAACAUCUAAAACAAUUUUUGUCAUUGGAGGAAGUGAAUUGUUAUAUACCUUGAAUUGUAGUUAUCCCAUAAGAACCAAGAUCCAAUGUUUUCAAGUUUGGCAAAUCUGCGAAUCCUACAUGCGCCGAUAAAAAAUGAAAAUAUUACAUUUAAAGGCAUUGUAUGUGAUCCGCGCGUUUGAUGAACAUUAAUUCUACAUUUAAUUUGCUUCUUAUCUCAGGUUCAGUGGCCUACCUAGUGUUGUCAGAUUUUGAUUACCGCUUAAAUACAACACUUGCAAGUUUGUCAAAUUUGCUAAUCCUGUUAAAAAAAGGUAAAUUUUGUCAAUAACAGUUAUGUCACUCUCGUCUAAAUUGUUUAAUUAAAAUAAUAUGGUAAAUAUUGAAUGAAAAUUAACCGUGCACAUUGUUAUUUUUUUGUUUCUAUGGAUAUUUUAAUAUAUACCGUCACUUUUAGCAUUACCAAGAUUUGGAGUGUUUGAAUCAUAAUUUGUAAAUUAGUUUGCACUUUGUGUAAACUUGAAAAUGUGAAAAAAGCAACUAAAAAAAAUGCAAAUAUAUUAUCAUCUUGAUUAACAUCUAAAACAAUUUUUGUCAUUGGAGGAAGUGAAUUGUUAUAUACCUUGAAUUGUAGUUAUCCCACAAGAACCAAGAUCCAAUGUUUUCAAGUUUGGCAAAUCUGCGAAUCCUACAUGCGUCGAUAAAAAAUGAAAAUAUUACAUUUAAAGGCAUUGUAUGUGAUCCGCGCAUUUGAUGAACAUUAAUUCUACAUUUAAUUUGCUUCUUAUCUCAGAUUCAGUGGCCUACCUAGCGUUGUCAGAUUUUGAUUAUCGCUUAAAUACAACACUUGCAGGUUUGUCAAAUUUGCUAAUCCUGUUAAAAAAAACAUAAAUUUUGUCAAUAACAGAUAUGUCACUCUUGUCUAAAUUGUUUAAUUAAAAUAAUAUGGUAAAUAUUGAAUGAAAAUUAAUUGUGCACAUUGUUUAAUUAAAAAAAUUAUUGUCUAAAGAACCGUGUAUAUAAUAAUUAGAACUCAAAUCCAACGCUUCCAAGUUUUUUAAUUUAGCUAAUCUUGCGCCAAGAAAGAAGAAAAAUCUUAGUAAUCGUCUUUGGGAAAAAAAUAAAGAAUUAAGAAAUUAGAUUAAAUAAUUGUAGUAAUAAAGCAUAUGACUCAGAUCUAAUUAAAUUGAUCAUAUACUCAAAAAUGAUUUUUUUUUAAAUUUUACUAAGAAAUUAGAAAGUAAUUUUUUGCCGUAUACCAAUUGUAGUCAAGUUUGUCAAGUUUUCCAGUCAAAAAUUGGUUUUAAUUUGACAUUAUACAUGUGUAAAAAUUAAGGGCAUAAUAAUAUCACAAGGAAUUUGGGUAGUGACUUGUUGCCGUGUGCUGACUUGGUAAUUAUCUCAGUAGCCUACCUAGCCUUGUUAAAGAGCCACUAGUUAUAUUGAAGUUCAAGCUUAGAUCCAACACUUGCAAGUAUCUCAAAUUUGCUAAUCCUGCUCAGAAAACAUUAAUUUUGAUCAAGACAAUAUAAAUAUACAUUUUAAUUAAGAAAUUAAUUAAGUUGCCUGAUAUGUAUAUCUGCUGGCCUGAAACGUAUAUGUAUACCUUGCUUGGUUCUGGAACCUUCAAUGGAAUUGGAAUUAAGAAUCAAAGUGGUAAGUGAAGUUAGUGUAUUCAAAUAUGGUAAUAUGCUGUCGUUGAAGAAAUUAAGACCAAGAUUUAACAUCUUCAGCUGCUUCAAACUCCCAAAGCUAUCGUAAGCUGCAAAUGCAUAUGAAGUGUUAUUAUUAAUUAGUCACUGACAAAAUAUUUAUGGACAAGAAAUAAAUGUAUACAUAUAUACGGACCUCUAUUCUCAUAGAUGCCUGCAAACCCAUUCCCAGAUAAGUCAAGACUUUGCAGUUCUUCAAAAGGAUGAAACAAUGACAUAUUCAGAACCAAAACUCCCUCCCAAUAAACAGAGUUAUUGAUCAGAAGCGAAGCCGAAGUACUAUCAAAAUAAUUCAAUCUGUGUGUAUGAUUGAGUGAGAGUUGCAUCACGCGUCGUGUGGUGGCGCUGCACUUAACUCCCUCCCAAUCAUCACAACAAUCAGACGGCAUUCCAUCAUCCUCACCAACCCAUGAAGGAAGAAUUUUGUCAUCAUAUCCAAUAUCACUGACUGAUGAUAUGAAGAAGCUCUUGAUUUCCAACAGAGCAGUCCUCUCUGUUUCCAAGCAUCCUUUGUAUCCAUGCAUUUCAUUCAUCAAUACAAUAAUCCAAAUUAGUGACAUUAAUGAGAACUUAAUACAGGAAGUACUUUCCAUUGCAGAGCAACUUUUCAUUUGGUUAAAAUUAAAUGUGCAAUGAGCAACUUUCCAUUGCAGAGCAAUUUAUACUAAAAGUUUAUCGCAGGUCUUGCAAUUUGAUUGGCUGAAGACUUUUUUAAGACUUUGAAGACUUGUAAGCAUUCCAUGUUUGGCAGCAUUCGACCAACGGGAAAAAGCACUUCAUUAAUACCCCGGGGAAAAUAUAGAUAAAGUGAUUAUAAACUAUAAAUUUUUCCAAUAGUUUGAUGGAGAUAAUCAUAACUAAUAAAAUAAAAGUUGACUGAGAGAAUUUAAAUAAUUUAACCGCAUGUUUGGAUUUCCAUUGCAUUAUCAGUCAAUCUAUUAAAUAAUGUGUUUUGAGAAGAAUUUGAUUGGAUGUUUGAUGAGUUUAAAUUAAUUUAUUAGAAAAUCAAUAAUUAAUCAACGUAAAUCUUCGUGUAUGUUUAGUUAGUGUGGCGUAGUCUGAAAUGACAAAACACAUAAAUGUUAUUUGAAGCUCUUGUGACCCUUUGUGUUCCUGCAUUCGGAUAAGGAAAGUUUCCAUUGCUCCAGUCUACACUCUUCACUACUAUUACAAUCACUUGAAAUGACAAAAACAGAAACUUCGUAUGAACAUGGGACCGAUGUACGGGUCCAAUUUAAAUGACCCUAGCUAAUUUUGCAUAUAUUAUUGCAACUACGUGGAAAAUUAAAGUUGACUGACUUUCAAAUUAAGCCAACAAACAAGUGGCCAUCAACUCUUUUCCCUCUAUGAUUGGUUUUUUUUUUUUUUUUAAAUUGAAUUGUAAGAUUGGGUUUGCAUUGAAUUAUCCAACAAUCUAUUCAAGCAUUGAUAUUUGAUAUUAUCAAAUAUUUAAUGGGUUUUGAAAAUUAUUUACUAGAUUUUUGAUAAAUUGAUUUUUAUUAUUUCAUGAUCAAUAAUUAAUCAAGUAAUUUUAUAUAUAUAUAUAUUUGGUAUUUGGUAAUUUACUCAUAAAAAGUGUGGAUCACAUUGAAAUGUUAUUUUAUAUGAUGCAUGACAUACGGAGAGGUGCAGUUUAAAUGCGCAAAUAAUUUAUUUAUUAUAACAUGCAAUCAUUGAGUUAAAGCGCAAGCGUGAGUUUGGAUUUGAAAUAUUCAAAUAAUUUAUUUCAUUAUUGAUUCUUAAAUAACAUGCUUUGGAAUUAAUAGUUCGAUAGGAUGUUUGAUAUAUUGAAAUUUGUGAUAAUCAAUAAUCAACUAAUUUUCAUUCAUAUUUAAAGAUUUUAAUAAAUUACUCAUAAAAUUGUGGCGUAUAUUGAAAUGACAAUCAAUCUUGAUAUUGACUGACAAUCAAUUUUUAUAGUGAUUGGCACUUAAGACAAUCAGUUUUGGUCUCCGUAAUGACUAAUGAAGAAUUGUAAGCCUGAAAUUCCACAUGUUGCAAUGUUGGACCAAUGAGGGAAAUGCUUCAUUAACAUUACAUGGAAAAUAAAUGUUGACUGACUUUCAAAUUAGGCCAACAUACAAGUAGUCGUCAAUUCUAUUUUUUCCAACAGUUGAUAAAGAUGGCAAGUUAAGAAAAAAAAAAGUUGAUUGAGAUAAUUUAAAGAAUUUAAGCGUAAGUUUGGGUUUGAAAUUAUCAAAUAAUUUAUUCCAGCAUUGAUUCUUAAAUAAUGUACUUUGGAAUUAAUAACUCAAUAGGAUGUUUGACAUAUUGAAAUUUGUGAAAAUCAAUAAUCAAUUAUUUUUCAUACAUGUUUAGACAUUUUAAUAAAUUACUCAUAAAUUUGUGGUGUACACCGAAAUAAUAAGUUAAUAAAUUGAAAUGAUAUCUAAAACUCUUGAGUCCCUUUGUAUCCUUGCAUUAAUUUGAAUUGAAGCUCGAAUUAAAAUCGAAGACCCAUAUUGAGAAUUUAUAUAAGUAACUUAAGAGUAUGAUUGGGUUUACAUUGACUUAUAUAUAUCAAACAAUAUAUUCAAGCGCUGAUAUUCUCAAAAAAAGAAAAAAAAAGACAAUCAAUCUUUGCGUCAACUGAUAUUAUUGAUUGGUAAUAAAUCUUAGUAGUGAUUGACAAAGCUUGGGAAAAUCACUCUCGGUGAUUAAUAGUCUUCGUCCUCAUCUUUGUUUUGAUCGUUGUGAUAGAGGAUGAGUGGUGCGUAAGAGAGGGUUCAUCGCUUGCGGAAUUUUCGCGGCCAUUCAAGAAUCAGGAUGGUUGUUGUAGAAUUCCACGAGAAUUGGCCUUGCAAUUAGGGAAAGUUCAAUAUUAAUUUAUACUAAAAGUUUAUCUUAGGCCAAUCACAAUGACCACCAAAACCUAUGAAUAAUUAGUCCAUCGAAACCCAAUGUAUGCUCAAUUAAUAUUUCCUAUCAAGAUCAAAUUUUUCGCUCUUCACCAAUCAUGAGCAUAAAAGCUCGAUUUAUACAAAAAUUAAGAAUUUAUGAAAAAAAGUCACAAUUAUUAUAAUUGGAAGUUUGAUUGAUUUUUAAAGAUUGAUUCAAUCAAUCUUAAUGUUACUGGACAAUCGAUCUUAAUAUUAAUUCAAAAUCAAUCUUUAUAGCAAUUGGCACAAAUAAAGAUAAUUAGUUUUGGUCUCUAUAAUGACUGACGAAGACUUGUAGGACCUGGACCAAUGAGGAAAAACGCUUCAUUAAUACUCCAUGGAAAAUAAAUGUUGACUGACUUUCAAAUUAAGCCAACAUACAAAUGGUCGUCAAUUCUAUUUUUUACAAAAAUUGAUGGAGAUAGUCAACUAAUAAAAUAAAAUUGAUUGAGAUAAUUUAAAGAAUUUAGGCAUAAGUUUGGGUUUUAAAUUAUCAAAUAAUUUAUUCCACUAUUGAUACUUAAAAAAAUGCUUUGGAAUUCAUAAUUCAAUAGGAUGUUUGAUAAAUUGGAAUUUGUGAAAAUCAAUAAUCAACUAUUUUCACAAUAAACUGAGAUUUUUUUUUUUUGAAAGCCAAUAGAAACAUGAAUUAUAGUACAUCCAUCGAUUGACGUAUAAUUAUAAUCAUAUAAUCAAACACGCACACUACAAGGCGACCUUCGAUUGACGUAUUCUGUCGACUAACCCAGGGACAUGGAGGAUGUUUUAACGUUAUAUAAAAAAAAAAUGAUGAAUAAUAUAGUUCCCGGCAGUGCUAAAAAAUGAUCAAUAAUCGGAUGAGGAAAUUUACGAAAGAUUUAUUAAAUGAUCAGAGACUUUCUGCAAUUUCAUUGACUUAUUCUACGAUAAUUAUAAUCAAACACGCACACUGCAAGGCGACCUUCGAUUGACGUACUCUGUCAACUAACCAAGGGACAGGGAGGAUGUGUGUUGACGUUAACCAAUAGCCAAGUUUAUAAACACAAUCAAGCAAUCAUAUGAUCAAUCAGAGCCACAUUCGACGCACGACUAGUAAAUAUCAUAAUUGAGUUUGAGGACCACAGCCUUACGGUGAAAGAAUUUGAAUGGAGAUCACUGCCAAAUCGUUUUUUGUCUGGGAUCAGACCAGACAAGUUCUUGUAUGACUCGUUAAAGUUGGAUAAAUAGUUGAUGAGUGAUCUGAAGAUCACUGAUAAGAAAUUUUGUCAUUUUUGUUUGGUAAAUUAUUCGUAAAAUUAUGGUCUACUCUGAAAUUACAAAAAUAAGCAUAAUUAAUUUGGAUAAAGGAAAAGCAAAGGAAAUUGAGAAGGAAACCAGAGGAAGGCUAAAGAAAAAUAAGCCGAUUCAUCAGUAACUCAAGAUCACAACUUUGGAUUUUUUUAGCAUCUGAAAUUUCAACAACUAUUCAAGUGAUGCGAGGUUGGUCAAGGUGGAAGGAAAGUUUCCACUUAAUUGAUUAUUAGAAAUAUCAAGAACUUUGAGAUUGGUCAAGUUGUUGAGACACUGAGGAAGGUGACCCUCAAAGUUAUUUGAGCUUAGAUCCAACUCAAAAAGAUUCUUAAAAUUACAUAGUCCUGAACUUGAAAAUAAAAGAUCAAAAUUUUAUAGAAUGAAAACUAAUUAUAGCAAAUUCGAUCAAAAUCCAGUACAAGACUUAAAAAACAGACAAAAAUCGAAUUGCCUAAUUAUUUUGGUCAGCACAAAUAAUAAUAGAGUAAUGUGAACUUAUUUCUCAUAUAAUAUGAUGUUGAUUGCAAAAGCGUUUCAAUAAUCUGGAAAAAGGGGAAAAAAAAAUAAGCCCUCAGCACUUUUUGUUUAUCAUAGCCCGGAGUCCUUCUUGUUUAACAUUAUGAUUUUCUGAGGAAGAAUUUGUUCACUUGAUGUUGUUCAUUGGACAAUGGUUCUGUAACCUCUAAACCUAUUGGAUAAUGUAAAGAGAAAUUCAUAAUAUUUUAGUUGUCUUCUUAAAUAAUAAAUUGUCUUAAAAUACAAUUAAUUUGUCUUAAAUUUAAUCUAUUUCUCAGUAUUUAAAGAAAAACAAAAAGAAAAAAAGAAAAAGAAAAACGAACUGGUCUUCAUAUAUAAUUUUGUCCAAGUACUUUGAUCAACAAAUCAUUAGGAAGGUGGUGUAUCAGUGAUGCAAAUAUUUAAUUAUCAUGUUUCAACAUAACAAUUCUGUGUAAAUUGUUCACUUUAUGUUUCUAGAGAACUGUUUAUAUUAUUAUUACUACUCAAAUUCAAUGCUUCCAAGUAUUUGAAUUUAAUUAGCUAAUCCUGUAUCAAGAAUUAAUUAAUGAACAUAAGAUAAAUGUCAUAUUAGUUAGAUUUAGAUUUUUUUUUCCAGUUUUGAUGUAUAGAUAAUGUUUUCAACUGGUUUUGGGGUAAGAAAAGCCAAACCAAUCUAGAACAAUAAAUUUGUUAUUUUGAGGGGAGAUGGGGUACCUCACUGGUUUAUUGUGUGUUGGGCGGUGUAUCUAAGAUUUUGGGGAGGUGAGAAAGGGAGAGAGAGUGGUAACAAUGGUGGAAGAUCAGAAACAAGAGAGGUAUCCUUCAAAAUGAGCUUCACGCCUGCAAAACAAUGAAAUAGAGGUUAGAGGUGAAGCCGGGGGUACCCCGGCGUUCACACUCCGACGCUCAAGUUAGCAAACUCAAGCUUUUAUUGCAAAGAGAGCUAGCUAGCCCUCUGUAAAUUAGGGUUUAAGGUUGAAGAAAACCUCUUUUUUGGAGUGUGAGUGUUUUUGGGCGAAUGAGAGCAUGAUGGAGAAUGAAACCUAGGCGCCUUUAUAUAUGGAGUACCUUAGCUGCCACGUGGCAUACCCUUUUUGGCUAACGUCCUUUUACCGCUUUUAUGAUUCUUGGGGCCGUUAUGUGCAUGUUCGCGGCGUAUCUCAUCUUUUGGAAACGUGGCGCGCGCUGGAGAGUGGUCCAGGGUACCUCUGCAGUAGCUGUCGGGUAGGCGGCUAGGGACCACUGUCCUUGGGACAGUGUCCUUCACUUUUGGCAGAGGUAGCAGACGGCUGUCCCUCCUUUUAGCACGUCGCUUUUGAUUCCUAAUUCUGACAAAAUCAAAUGAUAUCUUUUAGGAGGCGGAGACGUUUCUCAUGGCGGAUAUUUUCGGUGGAUUCUCUUGCAUCCGCUUUGCCGGGUACCUCGAAUUACAUGGGGUACCCCCUAUUACGCAGGGUACCCCUAUCUGUAUGGGAUACCUCUAUUUGUAUGGGGUACCUCUAUUUGUAUGGGGGUACCUCUAUUUGUGUGGGAUACCUCUAAUUGUGCAGGGUACCUCUAUUUAUACGGGGUACCUCAAGUCAUGUCGGGCACCUCGGAUUAUGUAGGGUACCUCCGAUUGUGCUGAUAUCAUUCCAUUGGCUGACACGUGGCGCUCUAUUACCUUUCCCAUCUUUCCCUCAAACAACAUCCCCCUAGUUUCUUUUUGGCGAGAAGUAUUGGAGGCAAAAGAAACUUAUUGUAUGAGUGACACGUGGCGAUGCGGCUGGAUCGGAGGGUACCUUGCUUAGCUUCUUCCCUUGACUAAACUUUGUGUACUUCAAACUAAAAAUCUUCUCUUUGUCUUUUCCUUUUCCCGCUUUUUUUUUUUUUUUUUUUACACGAUGAGAACGAACAGUUGUCUUCAUAUGUCUCUCUCCUUUUUCUUGGGAAGUGGCAGCCGUCUGACACGCAGUUUGAAUUUUGAAAAUACAAAUCUCACUCAAACAUCCUUGAACUCCUUUCUUGAGCAACGUGUUCUGUCAGGUUGAAUUUAAAACUCCUGACGUGUGUCAAAGUUUUGAAAAUCCCCAAACGAACUCCCAAAAAUUGAUUAUUUCCAGUAGCCUUUUUCUUCCAUAAUUUCGUCUCUUCUUCUAACUGGAUCAACAUUUCCAGUAGCCUUUUUUUUUUUUUUUUUUUUUUUUUUUUUUUUUUUUUUUAGCCUUGUUCAUCUUCCCUAGGCUUUACUCUCCCUUUACUCUUUUUCUUUUAUUUCUUUCCCAUUUUCUUUCUCCCUUUUCUUUCUCACGUUUCUCUUUCCUUUUUCUCUCUUUUCCUUCUUCCUUUUCUUUCUUUCUUCUUUCUCUUUCUCUCUCGGCCGGCGUUGAUCUGGUACGUUUUCCGGCGUGGAUCUCGGCUGCUGCAGUGGCGGUUUUGGGCUCCAGAUCUGGUCGGUUCAAGGCGAUUUCCGGCGGCUCACGGCGAGAUCUCAGUCCGGCGAUACACACGGUAACCCCUCCUUCAUCGUUUCUUUAUUUUUCCCUUGGUGCUUUCUCUCUUCCUUCCCUUUUCUUCUCUUUUUCGUUUCGGCUUGGUGUUUUUCUCUGUGAUUUCCGGCGUCGGUUUGGUGUGGUUGCAGCCGGCGUCGGUUCGGUGCUUGCAGCCACGACAGCCGGCGUCGGUUUGGUGGCUGCUGUCCCUUCUUCCGUGUUGUCUUCUCUGUUCUUCGUUUUCUUUUUUUUUUUUUUUUUUUUGGCUGGCGUCCUCCUUUGGCGGUUUCCGGCAUCCUUCUCGUGAUCUCCGGCGUCGGUUCUCGGUGGUUGCAGCCAUGACAUCUGACGCCGGUUGCUGCAGCUUCUUCGUUCUUCAUUUUAUUUAUUCAUUUAUUUAUAAAUAACUAUAUAUAUUUAAGCUUAUUUUUGUUUUUAUACUUGCAUAUUUUUACCCACUAUUUUUGGUUGCCUGCAGCUUCAUUUCGCCGCGAUUAUCAAUCCCGAUCUGUUGAAUUGGUGAAUCACAGGUAUCCCUCCUCGCUUCUCCUCCUUUGGCGCAUUCACAGUGGCGCUAUUUUGCAUACUCUGAGAAAAUUUUGUUUUUGGUUUUUGUUGUUUUUUUUUUUUUUGUUUUGUUGGUUGGUGUUUGCAUUUGGUGGUUGAUGUGUGGUGGAUGGUGCUUGGUAUGGAUAUAUUGCUGUUUGGAAAACAUGUGGCUUGUUGGAUGUGUUGUUGGGGGCUUGUGGAUAUGUUGUUGGGUGUAUCGUUGGGUGUAUUGUUGGGGAACUUGUGGAUGUGCUGUUAGGGGCUUGUGGAUGUGCUGUUGGGGAACUUGUGGGUGUGUUGUUGGGGAAAAGUAGAUGGGCAAAAAGCACACGGGACCCCCGAUGAAGCGACGUAAAGUUGGGGCUAGUAGGGUUGACAACCCUCCUGCGGGUUCCCCUUCCCACAUCUCCAUCAGCGAGGGGGAUCGGUCCCCUCCUAAUUCCUCUAUGAGUUGCAAUUCUCGUUCUGAGCCCCCUCCUCCUAGGAGUACCCCUCGUGUCAGCCCACGCUUUCCUAGUAGACGGCCUACCCCUCAUCCUCGAAAGAAGGGUAAGCCAACCAAGCCUAAGGUUCCAGCUCGUUCCUCGGACCAGCCGCCUAAAUCUCCCCCUGCCACACCUUCAAAAUCUAGCAACCCUUUUUCCCUAGGCAUUAGGAGGGCUACUUUGGGGGAGUUGGAGCAAAUUAGAGCCAAAUACAAUAUUCCUCCGUCUGUCCAGCUUAGGGUACCCCAUGUGAAUGAGCGACCCGAGUGUCCAAAGUCUGAUGGGAUUGCUCUCCAUAUCGAUCUCUUCGAUCUAGGACUCCGCCUGCCCCUCCAACCAUUCUUUAUGAAAAUGUUUAGUUACUUGGGGGUAGCUCCUGGGCAGCUGUCCCUUCCAGGGUGGAGGACACUGACGGGCUUACAUGUGUUAUGGUUGGAGGUCGUGAAGCGCGACAUUUCUGUUCGGGAGUUGAGGGGCCUUUACCAAUUCAAGAAGCCUAAGGGUCCCGGCAUUGCUUACUUCUCUCCCUGGGGUGAUCAUGGCCACAUCGUUGAGGGGAACCCCGCCUUGAAGAAGGGUUACCGAAAGGGAUGAUUUGUCGCUGAGGGUACCUCCCACAGCGGGUCAAAGGGUACCCCUCGCUCGAAGAAGAGAAAAUUCGGGCUGGUUUCUACUUUUCCCGAUGAGUUACGUGAGGGUGACUUAGACCCGGCUUCUAACAAGGAGGUUUCGCACUUGGCUCGCCACUUUUACUACUCUGCUGAAAAUGUUACCUCCGAGGUUGCUGAAGAGGUUGACAAGAUGAGCUUGAGCCAGCGUUAUGGUCAAGCACUUAGGGCUACCCAAGAGGUAGGCUUUCUUGGGGUACCCCGGGUGUACUCUUCAUCAUUUUCUUUUUACUUAUUUGAUCUUUUCGCCAUACACAUAUAUUUAACAUGUCUUGCAUGACCCGCAGGCAUCCUUUCUCCUUAGCCACUGCCUUCCGGAUCUCGACUCCCUUGUUGCCGCACAGUCAGAGGUCGACAAGUUAAGGAGUGAGCUUCAAAGCCGUCAAUCUCGUGAGGAUCAGCUCGCUCGAGAAGUUAAAACUCUGCAAGAACGCAUUGCUGGCCUAUCGGGAGAGAAAGCUAGGGUGGAGAAGGAUUGUGAGGAGUUGAGGGCCACCAACGGGGAUCUGCUAUCUCGGCAAAAGACGAUGGCGGAGGAUGCAUUCUCACUCAUCAUGACAGAGGUGUGGAGUGUGGAUCCGGCGUUGGAGGUACCCCGCGUGCAGAAAUUUGUCAACAAGGCUGCCAUUCUGAAGACAAUUGCAGAGCGGAAGAAGUCUUCCCAGGCACGGUCGGGUACCCCUUCUGGGUCGCCUGGGGUACCCCAUCAGCCUCAGUCGUUGCCCGCCUCGGAUGCCCCUAUUUCGGCGGCUCAUAUUCCGGGUACCUCGGAGUCUUCUGCCGAUCGCCCUCUAGAGACGGAUGUUGGGGAUCGCGUUCCCCCCUCGGUGUAGCCUUCUCACUGUGCUCUUGUUUAUCGGAUCUAUCCACAUUUUGCUAUUUGGACCUUGUUUAUUUCUUUUUGGUUUCUCGGGAUAUUUUGUUUUAUUGAGACUUCUCUUUUGUUAUGAUACCAUACCAUCUAGUCCUCUUGUACUUUGCAUUAUUCUGCAAAUGAAUGCUUGGCUAAACUGUUAUCUUACAAAUUCCUAGGGUACCUCUCAUUUCAUCAUUUUUUUUAAAAUGGGGUACCCCUGGUACCUUAACAAGUAUUCAACAUCAGGCGCCUGCUGGUUUACACUGAGCGGCGAAUUUGGUGCAUGCCCUCCUCGGCAACCAUGGCGGAUUUUCCACAAAUAGGUAAUCAAAACAUCGUCGCGACAUCUCGAUCAAAAAUUGAAAGUGCGCAAUUGGUCCAACCAAUCAAUUUCUUAUUCUUUCGAAGUGCUCUCCGAAUUUUUGAAUAGCUUACCCCAUACUUUGCAAAAGUACGAGGAUGGAGGUGUGGGUGUUCUCAUACCUAAGCCGAACUUCGUGCCGCUAGGGUAUGCCGGUUUUUCUUCACCCUCGGGUCCUCUUUGACCCUCCCUCUCUUUGUCUAGGUAGCUUUGUCAUGCUUCCGCAGAAAGGCUACCCCUGGGCUGUUCACUCCAUUGCCUAUCUUGGCUUUACACAGAUCGUCACGAUCUAGGCAUAUCAAGUACCUUGGCUGGUCCUGUGAUAGGUUAGUCAUAACUGACAAGCGUAUGGCGAGAAUUGCAUAUAACCAGAUGCGAGGGUAUAUUAAUGGCGAUAAAUGAAUGUAAUCUGCAUUCUAAGAUCGAAGUGGCGAAAAAUAAAGAAAGAACUCACAUCAUAUUUGUUGAGAAAGAAAAUGCAUUUAUAGAUAACGAAAGCGUUGAUCAAUACAUGACUUAGCUUUGUUACCCUGAGGAGAAUGGGAGACCGCAAGACCUCCUAUUCUUUUCAUUUGAAAAUUAAAGAAACUCUAAAGUUGUAACUGACCAACAUAGGGCAUUUGGGGUACCCUAUUUGGCAUACCACACAAAAACAUUAAAGAAAGCAAAUAACAGCAAAAGACUAAAGGUUGAGACACUGUCCUUUAGUAAUAUUUCCGUAGCAUUGCAGCGUUCCAGGGGUGCCUCACAAUUGUGCCAUCCAUGUGGAGUAGCCUGUAUGCACCUGUCCCAACGGGUUUGUCGAUGCGGUAAGGUCCUUCCCAAUUUGCCCCGAAAGCACCUUCGUAGGGUACCCUAGUGUUCUGAGUUACCAUUCUCAAGACUAAGUCUCCUUUCUUGAAGGAUCGAGGGCGUACCCUUUUUUCAUAUAGACCCGAAAUGCGAUGCUGAUAUAUGGAUGUCCUCAGUUCUGCUCUAGCCCUUUUUUCAGCUACCAAAUCAAGGUUUGAAGCAACCAAGGAGGUGUUCUCGGCCUCAUCGAAGUAUUCAACCCUGUGAGAGGGUACCCCGAUUUCUGCUGGAAUCACUGCGUCAACACCGAAUGCGAGGGAAAACGGGGUCUCCCUGGUGGAGGUGUUUUGAGUAGUCCGGUAUGCCCACAGUACGCCAGGUAGCUCGUCUACCCAUGCUCCAUUUCUUUCCUCUAGCUUCUUCUUCAGGAUACCUUUGAUAAUCUUGUUAACGGCUUCGACUUGCCCAUUAGAUUGGGGGUGGGCAGGUGUAGCAAAUCGGUUGGCUAUCCCCAACUCCGAACAAAAUCUUCAGAAUUUUUCAUUAUCGAAUUGCUUGCCGUUAUCACUGACAAUUGCAUAGGGGAUUCCAAAUCUGCAAAUGAGGUUCUUCCAAAUGAAUUCGGUGGUUUUCCUUUCUGUGAUGCUUGUUAGUGGCUCCACUUCCGCCCAUUUUGUAAAAUAAUCUACCGCCACGAUUGCAUGUUUUGCUUGCCCCUUUCCGGUAGGCAAUGGGCCAAUGAGGUCCACUCCCCACAUAGCGAAGGGCCAAGGGGAAGAUAUAACUGUUAGCUUCUCUGGGGGUAGAUGGGGUACCCUAGCGAACCUCUGGCAUUUGUCACAGCUUCGUACCAUAUUCUUGGCAUCCUCCCGCAUGGUUGGCCAAUAGUACCCCUGACGGAGAGCUUUUUGCGCCAGUGAUUGUGCUCCAUAGUGAUUGCCACAAAUCCCCUCAUGUAUCUCCCUCAUGACAUACUUGGCCUCGUCGCUUCCCAAGCAUCUAAGGUAAGGAAGAGUGAACCCUCUUCUAUAUAGGGUAUCCUGGAUCAAGCAAUACCGGGCAGCUUUAUACUUUAGUCUUCUCGCUUCACUUUUAUCUGAGGGGAGGUCUCCGUCCUUGAGGUGCCUUAUGAUAGGCUCCAUCCAAAGUACCUCGUUGGACAGUGAUCCUACUUCCAACGGCUCUAGGAGAUCAAUGCUGGGGGUGGGUAUGUGUUCUGUUGUGAUGGGGCCAGCUGACUGAGCUACACCAAGGGACGCCAUUUUUGCUAGGGUAUCGGCUUCGCUGUUCUCCAGUCGGGGUACCCUUUCCACUUUAACCUCGCAAAAUUGGGACAUUAAUUCUCUGGUUUUUUCGAGGUACCCCUUCAUGUUUUCCUCUUUCGCCUGAUAUUGUGCGGUAAUCUGGCUUACCACCAACUGUGAGUCACUCUUGACGUGUACCCUUUUUGCUCCCAAAGCCUUUGACAUCCUCAACCCCGCUAUGAUUGCCUCAUACUCGGCUUCGUUGUUUGAAGCCUUGAAUCCGAAUUGCAGGGCGUAGUAUAUUUUCACCUUGUUCGGGUUGAUGAUAAUAACUCCUGCGCCACUUCCGUGUGAGUUAGAGGAACCAUCCACAUAUAUUUCCCAGACCUGCUCCUCUUCAUUGGUGGGUAGGGUAUCUAACAGGUAUCUCAGAUCACAUUCACCACUUGAGUCAUUGGCGAAUUCCGCAAUGAAAUCAGCAAUGGCCUGAGCUUUAAUCGCCGAACGAAGCUUGAAGAUGAUGUCGAACUCGCUUAAUUCGAGGGACCAUCGGAGAAGCCUUCCGGACAUGUCUAACUUCUGAAGGAUUUGCCGGAGGGGAAGGUUGGUGACGACUGCAAUGGUGUGAGCCUGAAAAUAUGGUCUGAGCUUCCGUGCGGAGAUAACCAAUGCCAAAAUGAUCUUCUCAGAGGUGGGGUACCUUUUUUCGGCAUCAACCAUAGCCUUACUAGUGUAGUAAAUAGGUCGUUGUACCCCAUUAUCAUCCUCUCGGAGUAACACAGAGCUGGUGGCAUGCUCGGAUACGGCGAGAUAUAGCAGCAGCACCUCUCCCGGCUCAGGUUUGGCAAGUAGUGGAGCAUUCACGAGGUACCCCUUCAGUUCUUGGAAAGCCUCUUCGCAAUCGGGUGUCCAUUGGAGCUUUUUACCGGUCUUCAAAGCUUUGAAAAAGGGCUUACACCGAUCGGUAGCCUUGGAGAUAAAACGGCUCAGAGCAGCUACCCGACCUGUUGUACCAUGAACCCGAGAAACUUUCCCGAGGUUACCCCAAAUGCACAUUUUUCAGGGUUUAGCCGCAUCUGAUGUUUUCUCAAAACGGUAAAGGUAUCUCUGAGGUGCCCCAGGUGUUACCCCAAAUGCACAUUUUUCAGGGUUUAGCCGCAUCUGAUGUUUUCUCAAAACGGUAAAGGUAUCUCUGAGGUGCCCCAGGUGUUACCCCAAAUGCACAUUUUUCAGGGUUUAGCCGCAUCUGAUGUUUUCUCAAAACGGUAAAGGUAUCUCUGAGGUGCCCCAGGUGUUCCCCCGCAUGCACCGAUUUGGUGAUCAUGUCGUCUAUGUACACCUCCAUGGUGCGCCCGAUUUGUUCUUUGAAAAUUUUGUUCACUAGCCGCUGGUAGGUAGCCCCGGCAUUCUUCAAACCAAACGGCAGGCGUCCAUAAAACUAAGCAUUUCAUGCCUCGCUGUUGCAUCAACCAGCUGGUCCACCCGAGGAAGCGGGAAGCUAUCCUUGGGGCAGGACUUAUUCAAGUCGGUGAAGUCCACGCACAUGCGCCACUUUCCGUUUGAUUUCUUGACAAGAACAACGUUGGACACCCAAUCGGGGUACACUGCUUCCCGAAUAAACCGUGCUGCUGAUAGGCGGUCUACCUCUUGUUCAAUUGCAUCGUACCUCUCUUGAUUGAAGGCGCGAUGCUUCUGUUUGACCGGUUUAUUAUGCGGGCUGACAUUGAGUUUGUGACAUGAGAGAGAAUGUGGGAUACCCGGCAUAUCCGAGUAGGUCCAAGCAAAUACAUCGAGGUGCUCACAUAGGAAGGUGAUGAGUUUCUCCCUUUGUUCCUCCGAGAGGUUGGAGCCUACUUUCACUGUCUUUGUUGGGUCGGUGGCGCAAAUCGAGACUGAAAUAAGAUCUUCAACUGGGGUACCCCGCAUUUCAUCUUUCAAUAUCCGGGGAUCCAAAGGUGCCUCAACUUCACAUCUGGGCUCCUCCUGGUCCCCGUGGGGUACCCUCGAGCUAUCCCCCGUAACUGCUUCCAUCUCCCUUGGUGAAAACUCCAACUUUUCUCGUGGGUGGGCUACUUGAGGAGAUUUUUUCAGUACUGUUCUCCGCUGUCUAGCAAGUGCUCGCUUUGAGGGGGAAGGUGUGGGCUGGCUGCCACUAGGGUACCCCUUCAUUGGCGGAUCUGAAGCUAUUUGGUAAGUGACUUUGGAGGCCACGGAAUAACAUCCACGAGCCGAUUGCUGGUCCCCUUUAAUGGUGAUAACUUCUUGGGCGGCCGGGACUUUCAUGGCGAGAUAGUGCAUGGAUACCACCGCUUUAGUUGCUACUAAGAACGGCCUACCCAAUAUAAUAUUGUAGGCACCCGGGUGAUCUACAAUAAGAAAAUCAAUCAUAUGAACAACACGGUGAGGUACCUUACCAAGUGUAACGGGCAGCGUAAUGAUGCCUUUUGGUAUAACCAUAUCUCCGGCGAACCCAAUAAGAGGCGUAGCAUAUGGGGUGAUCUUUGGCGACUCAAUCAAUAGCUGAUCCAAGGCGCUUUUGAAAAUGAUGUCAACGGAGCUACCGGUAUCUACGAGAGUUUUUGCUACCUUACCAGUGGCAACCUUCAACGUAAUUACGAAGGCAUCAUCGUGGGGGUACGAGAUGCCCUCCGCAUCUUUUUCUGUAAAAAGGAUAGGCGGGGGAUGGUGGGGUACCUUCGGUGUACCCCAUUCAUUAAGGUUGACUUCUCUGCCCAUAUUGGUGGUUAUCGACAACGAUCUACCAUAGCCUUUGAUAGCCCUCCUAGAUUGGCCUGCUAAAGUCGGUCCGCCCAUGAUCAUUCGGACAUACACGCCUUUCUUGUGUCCAGGGGGUACCUCUCGUUCCGGACUGCCAUCAGCUACCCGCUUGCCUUUAUCCUGUUCCGCAGAUUUCCGAGCUUCUCUCAUGCCAGCAACAAAUUCUUUGAGGUACCCGCUAAGAAUCAAAGAUUCAAUUUCUUCUCGCAAGGUGAAGCACUCGGCUGUGCUGUGACCAAAGUCCUCAUGGAACUCGCAAUACUUCAGGCUACGCUUCAUGUUGGGGUACUUCUUCAUUGGCUUAGGAGGACGGAGGAGGCCGCUAUCCCGAAUAUGGUAGAAGAUCUGCUCUGGGGAUCGAUUCAGUGGGUGGUAAGAUUCAUACCGAGGCCUCGGCGGUGGCUCUCGUUGAUCCGGUGGUGGCGAUCUUGGAGGUUGGGGUACCCUUGAGGCACCCUGAGGGUUAUACCCUUGUCCCCGCAAGGCAGCCCGUGGAGGGCUCCGUGCUCGGGGUACCCGCGGUAUUGGGGCCUCCACCCUCUUGGGCUUCUCCUUGUUCUUUGUAACAUCGGCCUUAUCUUCUUGGCGCUUCAAUUGGCAUUUUUCGUCCAUCUCCAAUUGUUGCAACGCCCGAGAACGGGCUUCCCCAUAUGAAAGUGGACGCUUCUUUUGAAAAGAACGCCAUAACUUGCCCAACCGCAAAUUUUUCUCAAAAUGGGUCAAUGUGUAUUGGUUUCCAAAUGCUCCGGUUCGCAGCACCUCUUGGUGGAAACGACUUACAUACUCCGCCAAAGGCUCGGCUUCCCCUUGCUUGAUAAAGGCAAGUUUGGAGGCUACCCUAUCUUGAGUGGAAGCAUAGGAAAACUCUUUAGUAAAUUCAGAUAACAAUUGGUGUAAGGAAGAUAUGCUACCCGCUUUCAAAGAUCGAAACCAUGACUUCGCGGGGCCCGUGAGUGUGUGUGUAAACAUCCUACACAUGGCGCUCUCAUCUACACCCUUAAUGAGCAUUUGGUCACGGUAUAGCUCAGCAUGCUCCGAGGGAUCAGUGGUACCCGAGUAUUGGGGUAUCUGAGGCAUGGCGAACGCCUCGGGGAGAGCUGCUGUCCUAAUCUCCCUAGUGAAUGGUGAUUGGUAGGUCAUUGGCGUUGGUGCAGCUGUGAUGUUUUGCUUCUCGGAGAGGAGCUUCACUUGGGCUUCCAGGUUCUCCAUCUUUUCCACAAGUUCGAGGGGUACCCUCGGUGUACCUGAUGAUGUCGCCGCCAUUUGAGAAGCCCUUUUGGCGUUUAACUUCUCACGGAGAUCAUCGUGGGUACGCUUUGCACGCCUCGUACCCUGGCUACUGCGGGAAUUGCAAGAGGCAGUGGAACGCUCGUCGCGGGAGCCCAUGGUUUGAAACUUAGAACGGGUACCCGAUGGCCUAGGCUUUGGCUUGCUGGCCUCGGGUACCCCUCUUCUGACCAUAGCUUGGUCGUCCGUUUGAGGUGGUGGAGCUUCUAGCGUCACUGGUGGAAGUGAACUUUCGGGUGCCCGAGAUCCAACCGCCCUAAGUAUUGCGUGAGCAAGAUCCUCAAAACGCUUGUGCGAAAUAGGUUCUUCUUCUUGGCGAACACCCGUCGACUGCUUGACACCCUUGCCCUUACUGAUGCGGGCUACCCUUCUCGCGGGAUCACUGCCUUCACUGCUGCUGUCCUCUCUCAUCCUUGUAGGAUCCCCCAUUAAACCUUUAGGAGGUACGUCGGGUGCCAUGUAUUGGAGUACACACAACAACUAGUUUGGUAACCGUGGAGGAGGCUUUUUGUGCGUCUCCCCACAGACGGUGCCAAUUGUUUUCAACUGGUUUUGGGGUAAGAAAAGCCAAACCAAUCUAGAACAAUAAAUUUGUUAUUUUGAGGGGAGAUGGGGUACCUCACUGGUUUAUUGUGUGUUGGGCGGUGUAUCUAAGAUUUUGGGGAGGUGAGAAAGGGAGAGAGAGUGGUAACAAUGGUGGAAGAUCAGAAACAAGAGAGGUAUCCUUCAAAAUGAGCUUCACGCCUGCAAAACAAUGAAAUAGAGGUUAGAGGUGAAGCCGGGGGUACCCCGGCGUUCACACUCCGACGCUCAAGUUAGCAAACUCAAGCUUUUAUUGCAAAGAGAGCUAGCUAGCCCUCUGUAAAUUAGGGUUUAAGGUUGAAGAAAACCUCUUUUUUGGAGUGUGAGUGUUUUUGGGCGAAUGAGAGCAUGAUGGAGAAUGAAACCUAGGCGCCUUUAUAUAUGGAGUACCUUAGCUGCCACGUGGCAUACCCUUUUUGGCUAACGUCCUUUUACCGCUUUUAUGAUUCUUGGGGCCGUUAUGUGCAUGUUCGCGGCGUAUCUCAUCUUUUGGAAACGUGGCGCGCGCUGGAGAGUGGUCCAGGGUACCUCUGCAGUAGCUGUCGGGUAGGCGGCUAGGGACCACUGUCCUUGGGACAGUGUCCUUCACUUUUGGCAGAGGUAGCAGACGGCUGUCCCUCCUUUUAGCACGUCGCUUUUGAUUCCUAAUUCUGACAAAAUCAAAUGAUAUCUUUUAGGAGGCGGAGACGUUUCUCAUGGCGGAUAUUUUCGGUGGAUUCUCUUGCAUCCGCUUUGCCGGGUACCUCGAAUUACAUGGGGUACCCCCUAUUACGCAGGGUACCCCUAUCUGUAUGGGAUACCUCUAUUUGUAUGGGGUACCUCUAUUUGUAUGGGGGUACCUCUAUUUGUGUGGGAUACCUCUAAUUGUGCAGGGUACCUCUAUUUAUACGGGGUACCUCAAGUCAUGUCGGGCACCUCGGAUUAUGUAGGGUACCUCCGAUUGUGCUGAUAUCAUUCCAUUGGCUGACACAUGGCGCUCUAUUACCUUUCCCAUCUUUCCCUCAAACAGAUAAAAAUAAUACUUCAAAAGCAUUGAAAUGUAAGUGCUAUUAAAAAAACGUUUUUCAUUCAAAGCUAUAAGUAAUGAAAUGAAGAUAGAUAUCAUUGUUGAUUAAAAAAAAUUCAGAAAAAAAGAAAGAGUGAAAGAAAAGAGCUUGUUAUGUUAGAAAAUAGUGAUAGAGUAUGUUAAGGACUAAAAUUUAUUAAAGAAAGCAGUGGUUCUAUUUGAAAUUUGAUCAAGUUAGAAUUAGUCAAUUAUGCAUCGAGAAUGAAAAGAAUGAAGAAAGGGAAUUCAAAUUAGACUUACAAAAUUAUAAUAAAGUGAUUAGUUAAGAUCCAAUUAAGCUGAUUUACUAAAAAAAAAUAUUGAAAAAUAAAGGGCCAUAACAUUGCCAAAAGGACUAGGAAACUAAGUAGGAAGGGGUGAUUGUUGCGGAAUACCUUGAAGUGUAGUUAUUCCACAACCACGAAGACCAAUUGCUUUCGAGUUUUGUCAAAUAUAUAUGCCAAUCCUACAACAAUAUAAAGCAAAAUGUUACUAUCAAAUUAUUGUAGAAGACUGUGAUCGUUGUGAUAGAUCGGUAAUUUUAGUAGCUUACCUAGCCUUCUUAAAGAGCCACUUGUUAGAUUGAGGUUCCAGGUUAGAUCCAACACUUUCAAGUUUCUCAGUAAACAUUAAUUUUGAUCAAAACAAUAGACAUAAAUAGACAUAAAUGAAGUUAGUGUAUUAAAAAAUGUUGUCGUUGAAAUUACCACCAAGAUUCAAGAUCUUCAGCUGUUUCAAACUCCCAAAGCUGUCGUAAGCUGCAAGUGCAUAUAAAUUAUUAUCAUUAAUUAGUCACUGGCAAAAUAAUUAUGAAUGAGUAAUAUGAGUCAAGGCACUGCAAUUCUUCAAAAGGGUGAAACAAUGACAUACUCAGAAGGGAAACUCCAUAAGAAUAAGAGUUAUAAUCAGAGUAGUGGAUUUUUGUUUUCUGAUUGAGUGACAGUUGCGUCACCCGUCGGGUGGUGGCGUUGCACUUAACUCCCUCGCAAUUGUUACAACAAUCAGACGACAUUCCAUCAUCAUCAAACCAUGAAGAAAGAAUGUUGUCAUCAUAUCCAACAUCACUGGCUGAUAUGAAGAAGCUCUUGAUUUCCAACAGAGCAAUCCUCUCUGUUUCCAAUCAUGCUUUGUAUCCAUGUAACUGAAUCAGAGCUAUGCCAAUCCACAAUGACAACUUCAUCAAAAGCAUUUUCAUUAUUAAUAUUAACUGCAAGAGAAACACUCACAAGAUUGACCUGUCAAUUGUUGCUCUCUUGAAGUUUUUCUGGUUGUCUGGCAAAUAUAUGAUUUGUAUAUACACACAUGGAAAUGUUAGAAAACUAAGUCUUUGAUACAUGAUAUCUUCUUGUGACCCUAGUACCGUCCAAAGACAUUGAAACAAAGAGAAAUUAACAGCUGACUUACCUGCAUCAUGUGCAAAUCACGUGACAUCAAAAGUUACCAUGUAAUUUGUCUUUAUAAGUGUUUUCUGCUUCUGAAAAUGAAAAAUAACAAAAUGGAAAUGCUUUUAGCUUUUGGCUAGACAUUUUCAGGUCACUCUCUUAUCGUGGCCUGCGGCUUGCAGUCAUCAACAAUCCUCAUCUGGCCUCUUUAUAAUCCACUUUUAACAAAAUAUAGAUAGAAACAGAUAUAUUACUGAUAUUCAAAUUACACUUAAUAUUAAUAAAUCUUUGGACUGAGCUUUAAAUCUAUAAACUAAAACUUCCAGCAUACCACAAAUUAUUUUUAGAGCCCGCAUGUUGGAAUAUCUCCUUCAAGUUUCGCUUUGCUUUCUAGCACAUCAUUCAAAUGAGUUGCUAUACUAUAUCUAGCUAGUUUUGAACAAAGUAAGUGAGAAUAUUACAUCUGCUUUAGCAAGAUACGAGUGAAUUAAAACCUUUGACCAGAUUCAAGAGAGAAAAGAAUGUUGAAAUAUUGACUUGAAUAUUAUGGCAAAAUGAGUUUGACUUUAGUACCGACCAAAGAAAUAAUUGAAGAUGCAAAUUGGUUAGUUUGAGGUGCAUGGCUAUUGGCACAACAACAUUUGCUGCAUAACGAAAUUGCGGCGUCUCAGCCGGAUUGUGAGAGUUGUUUUCAAAUCCCAUUUCUCUUCUUUGUAUUUAUUCAUUGCCACAACAUUUGAUGCAUAUUUUGAUGACUACUCAAACGCGUUUCCACAAUAACUAACGAAAGGAAAAGUGAACGAAUAAGCAAAAGACACUGAUGACUAUAAUCAUGUAAAUGAAGUACAAGGCUUCACAAUAGAUUAGACCACCAAUUUGUGCCUUUUGAAUGCAUGUGCUUGAACAAGAUACGAGUGAAUUGAGGCAUAUCUUUCUUUCACAAUGUAAACUUCCCAAAAUACAUGUAAUCUGCUGGUGAAAUAAUUUUUAUAAAACAAAGGCUUAAAGUUAAAGCUGACUAAAAAUAUUGGCGUACGUCAAGAACGCUACGGGGAAAAUUCAACCGUGAGCUGCAGUCUGCAGUCCCCAACAAUCCGGGAAAAGGCUGAAGAGGUGCGCGCCUGCGCAUACUAAUUUGGCAGGUCUGAUAGGAUUUAUAAAUUAAAAUAAUGUAAUUUUAUAUAUUUUUUAAAUGAAAAAUUUGUUGAUGCCGCUGUGAGAUCCAUUGGAUCCUCGCGUGCCUGCCCCACAAAACAAUCUCCAUCAAAUCUCUUUACAAUCCAUUUUUGAUAAAAUAUGAAUAAGGAUACAUAUAUUUAUUCAAAUAUUAGUAAAAAUAGAUAUAUUGCUGAUUUUUUUUUGGUGUAAGCCAUUCGGUAUUUGGCGAACGCAAUUGGAUCCCGACUAAUCCGAAUUUGGGGUGUAGUCACAGUUAAAGCUCUUUACUCCUCCCACGUAAUUGGAUCCCGACUAAUCCGAAGCGAACGCAAUUAGAUCCCGACUAAUCCGAAUUUAGGGUGUAGUCACAGCUAAAGCUCUUUACCCCUCCCAAAUAACUUAUUUAGUGGGGAUUGAACCCAAGAGCUCUUCCCACAAACUCAGCCUGCGUUGCUAACUGAGCCACAACCAUUUGGUUAUAAUGCUCAUUUUUAAAUUAUACUUAAUGAACAUUUAGACCGAGCUGUAAGUCUAUGAAUUCAAACUUCCACAACACCACCAAUUAUUUUUAGCCUGCAUGUUGGAUUGUCUCCUUUAAGGCUGUGUUUACUAAACUGGAAUGAGAAUUGAAAUGGAGAAAUCCGAAUGAAUGACUUGUUUAGUCAUUAAAUUGAUGAUAGGAAUGGGAAUAAGGUGAGUAGGCUCCAAGUUCUUGAAGAGGAAAGAUCACUAUGGCACCAAUCUCCGGAAGAGGCAAGUCCAAUAAAGCCAAGGCUGACAAGAAGAAGAAAGAAGAGAAAGGCUUCAAUUGUUAAUCUUUUUUAUUCACUGCUUUCAUUGGAAAGUGCUUUUUGUAAAGUGCUUCCGCUUUCUAGCUUCCUUAUGUUCAUUGAUUUUUUUGUUGUGCAGUAGUGCCCAGUGUUCUUGAUAUCACAAUCAUCACCCCAUAUGAAUCACAAGUUGUUCUCAAGGUAUAAAUUUAUACUUAUCAUCAAUACUUUCUUGUUUUGCCCUCACCAGCUAUGAUUAGGAUAUUAUUUUGUAAAACUUUAUAAAUAUAAAUGAAUUAUUAAUUAAUCAUCUUUUUUUUUUUUUUUGGUUUGAUUGAAAUUUGCUCAAAGGGCAUCUCCACUGACAAGAUAUUUGAUGUGAAGAAAUUGUUGGCUUCCAAUGUAGAAACUUGCCACCUCACAAAUUAUUCUCUCUCUCACGAGGUGUCUAUAUUUUAUUAUCUCUUUUUUUUUUUCAUUAUAUAUGAUUAUGAAUUUUUUUCUGAUAAUAUUAAACACUAGAUACUAUUUUUUCCCACCUUAUUUUUAUGUGUUUAUUUCUUUAUUAUUAUUAUUAUUAUUAUUAUUAUUAUUAUCUGGUCAAGGGGCAGAGAUUGAAUGAUAGAGUAGAGGUUACUCUGAAACCAUGUUUGCUCAGAAUGGUUGAAGGCAGGUGAACCUCUCGCAUGUCCAAUUUUCUGAAUUAAAAAAUCUCAUUCAUGUGGAUGUGGGUCUCAUUUUAUUUGUUAUUUUUAAUUAUCAACAUUUAGAUCUUUUUAGUUGUUCAUCGCCAUACUAUUUUAGUAAACUAUAUUGAUUUGAUGGGGGAACCUUAGGUGCAACUGUGGCACCGUGCCACAAUUGCAUCUUAACCGUUGGAUGCCUGUGGACCUCAACACUCUAACUGCAUCCAACGGCUAGAUGCAACUGUGGCACGGUGCCACAGUUGCACCGUAGCCUGAUCCUGAUUUGAUUGUAUGUUUUUUAAGAAUUUUUUAAUAUUAUUGAAAAAAACAGAUUAAAGUGAAAAAAUUAUUGACUAUAUUAAUUGACUAAAUAAAUAAAUAAAUGACAAUAUUUUAUUUUUUAACAUUAAAAAAAACCAAUUUGAUGCAGUCCGCUUAGUCCUGCACACUUGGAACGUUACCAUGCUUUUUUGUGCUGUACAUUUUGGACUUAACUUUCCUUGUCAUUUCAAGUCAAAGUUUUUUUUUUUUUUUAAACUGAUUAAGUGUCAGGUUACUGUAUUACACAGAGAUAUUUACAAAUAAUAACAUAUCACUGAUAUUUACAAUCCGAUAUAUACUUAGGACUUACAUUAUUAUAUUUUUAUUCUAUAAAGUACGUGCCCAGCCAAAUAUCACUCAUAGGAGAGGGAUGUCUCUACUCCACUAGCAUUUCGCAAUGGAAAAAGACGUUAUAAAUAAUCUCUAAACAAUUAUAAUUAAUUGAGGGAGUUUGAGUCAGUAAAAAUUCGAACUAUUAAUAGUCAUUCUUAAUUUUAAGGGCAAUGAUUCACCUCUGGGCUACAAGCCCAAAUGGCAUUUCAAGUCAAAGUUGAAGCUGUUUCAAAAGUACAAUAAUAAGGUGCAUUUAAGUAACUGGCCUAAACUUUAGAAAUUUCAGAAGUUACAGAAUACGCAGUUCAUAUCUAGGAGCAUUAUUAGUUUAAUCAUUAAAUGACAAAAUUUUGCCAAUCUUUUUACGAGCCUUAACAAACUUUUUCUAGUUGAUAUUCAAAGUUUUAUUGAUUUUUUUUUAUAGUCAACUGUACUAAUUGAACAGUCAAUUUAAUAUAAAAACGACUUUAUCGCUUUGUGAUCCUAAUUUUCAACCAGGCGUUAAAAUCUAUUACCCUUAAAAGAAUAUUAGUUGGCAGAAAUGUAAACAGAAGUAAGAAGGUUUGUAGAAGUGUAUUAUUUCAGAAUUACUAAUUUUAUUGUGAAUAAUUAAUAUGAUUAGAAUUUAACAAAAUUUUAUUUAAAGACUUGUUUAAAGAGCAAAAAAUUUAUUUUUUAUUAUUUUUAAUACUUAUAAUUGUAAUUUAAUUUAGAAAUAUUUUAAUUAUAAAAAAUUAUUUUCAAAAAUAAAUUCGACGAAUAGUUUAGGGCUUUCAAAUAACUCUACUUAUAUUUAAAUUAAUAUUUAAAAGAAAGAAAUAAAAUAAUAAAAGUAAAAAACUUUGCCCGGCAAUUCCUUGUUAUUUACAUUUUUGGCACUGUCCUUGGCAGUGGACUACACAGAGGAAUCUCAGGCCGUGGCACACGUGCGGCGGCUUCUCGACAUCGUCGCGUGCACCACACGUUUCUCCAAGUCCAGAAACUCCCGAUCGCCGCCAUCAUCAGAGUCAUGUGCCAAAAAGAACGGCAGUAGGCCCCACCGACCUUCACUAAACCCUGCCACUCUGUCUGAUGGGGCAGCAACAGCAGCAGCAGAUAACCGAAGCGGGCCCCGCGCCACGUCAUCGCCAGUUUCGUCGGCGGUUUCUCCGAGUCUGGACAUGGCGGCCAUUCACCCGACGCCGAAACUCUCCGAGUUUUAUGACUUCUUCUCUUUCUCUCACCUCACUUCCCCCAUCUUAAGUAAGCCUAAUGUUCACUUAUUUAUUUGUCUUCGUUUUUUACAUGGUUGAUCCAAAAAAGGUUGACGUCUCUAUUUUUUAAGCUGUUGGAGCAAUACGCCGUCUCAUUGAUUCAAAUUUACACACUCAAGAUACAAUCAAUGUCCAAAAGGGGGCAAUCUUGCAUGAAGAUCGGGUGGGAGACUUGUCCAUUACAGUAAAAUGUGAUACAGUAGAUGCAAGCUUGAAAUAUGAGGUUACUGUUAAAGGAAAUCAGUCAUCUAGUGUGUCUGCUGCAGAAGUUGCUCAAAGGAAUUUACUAAACGGUGUUACUGCAGAUGAGAGUGUAGUUGUUCACGUAAGUCGAUUUUUCCUUUACUUUUUAUGCUUACUUUCACAGAACACACACAUAAAAGACAUUCAUCAAAGCUGAAAUUACUUACGUGGGCGGAAUAAUAUAGCUCUACCUUUGUCAGGGAGUGGUUUUUCAGUCGGAUUAAGAUGUUUCACUCUUUAUCUGAUAUCUGGCAUUUGAUGAUGGCCUAAAAUACCCAUCCUCUUCACUCUCUCUUUCUACACAUUUAUGAAUGCACAAGAAAGUCAAUUUUAGGUUCUUUCCUAAGAAUCACUACUCGUUACUAACCUUAUAUAUCUGGUUUAGCUUCAUGAAUCUUAUGUUGCCAUUCUGUUUGGUGACUCCCUAUUCUGUUGAAAUCACUGGAUAGCUGGUCUUUCUACUGAUUUUAUCCAUAUCCCUCUGAUUUUCUGCUUGUGGUUUGUUCCAACUUAAUGUCAUCAACCCUUUUUGGGGAAGCCUAUUAACCUUGGUUGGGCAUGCUUGUAUUAUAUCAACUAGUGAUACAAUUGCUAAAGUUUUCAGCAUGGUAGAUCUUGAAAUAAAAUUUUCUUGAAAUAUCUAGAUUUAUUUUUCUCAAAAUAUCUAGAUUUAUCUUCCUAUUCUUUUUCCCUUUCUUUUAUUUUAGUUUCAAAGAUUUGUGAUAAAGAGAACUGAAACAAUAUAGUUUUUGGCAGGAUACCUCCUCAUUGGGUACCGUCAUUGUAUGACAUUGUGGAUACACCGCUGUAGUAAAAGUUGUUGGUGAUGUGAAGGAGAAGUUUGGCACACAAGAUAUUGAAAUUGAAGAUCAACCUGGUGGAGGAGCUAAUUCUCUUAAUAUUAACAGGUCUGAAAUUGUAACACAAUGCUUCCUCUGUCGAUUCCUCUUAGCACACAAAGACUAGGAAAUCUACAGAUGGAGAAUGGCUGUAAGAUAUGAAAAAUUAUCUUUCAACCAAUAACAGUUUUAAGCUAUUCUGCAAGAUAUCUUAGAAAUGCUAACUGUUAUGAGCUUCUUUGCUUAGUGUCUAUCACAGUUGAAUUCAUGAUGCAGAGCAUUGUUAUUCUCUUUAGUUUUACCAGAUAGAACAGGAUUGAAAUGCUGGUGUUGGGGAUUCUUAAGAAAGGAUAGCACCUGUUCCUUUUUCUUCCUGUUUAGAUGGGAUCUAAUCAGUAGAUGUCUGAACUCUUAAGGGGAGUUGAUGUCAGAUUUCUAAACCAGGUUUUCUUCAAGUGUUAAGUUUAUGAAUAGGCCAAAGAAAAGAGAGCUGAUAUCUAGUUAUGGCUUUCACAAUAAUGGUUGAGUGUUUAUAGUUAUGUGCUCUGACAUUGGUUUGUAAUUGUUAUAUUAACAAAAUAACCAACAGACAUCGUUGACGAUGUUCAAAUAAAGGAUAAAGGAAAGUAUAAUUACAGUGGAUGCUCAGUUGCUGCAAUAGGUCAUCGGCUUUUUAGAUUGUGCUAUUUCAGAAAGUAUUUAGGCCUUCUUUGGUGGAUUCUGCCUUUGUUUCAUAUACUCUUAUGUCUUUCUCCAUUUAAGUUGUUCUGACAGGGUAAACUAUUUAUUGCAGCUUAAGGCUUGUACUUCAGAAGUCUUUCAGUGCUGAAUCAGCUAGAGGAGACCAAUUACCUCUGUGCAAUUUGGAUAAUUCGGAAGCUUUUAGAAAUCUUGUAAGAAGAGUUAUUAAACAGAGUUUAGCAAAGUUAGAGCUGGAGCCAACUGCUUCAGAAAGAUCUAUUAGAUGGGAACUUGGUUCUUGUUGGGUGCAGCAUCUACAAAAGCAGGAAACUCCAACAGAUACCAAGUCAACGAGGUCUGGGGAUGAUAUUAAGACUGAAAAUGACAAUGGACCGUGCAGCAUGAAUGUGGGAGGUAAUGGUAGACAGCAAAGCAAUGGCGAGCUCAAUUGUGAGAUGGAAUUGAAAAAACUAAUUUCGGAAGAAUCCUUCUUGCGAUUGAAAGAAACUGGCACUGGCCUUCAUUCAAAAGUUUCAGAAUCUCAAAUUUGUUUUGCAUUUCAACUGUAAAGUUUGCUACUUUUUGUGUUUUCAUUAUGCUAAAUUUGGUUUGUUUUAUUUUCAUAUGGAAUGGCUGGUAAAAUUAAUUUCUUGUGCAGGCAGUGGAUGAGCUUAUGAAAAUGGCAUACAAGUAUUAUGAUGACAUUGCUUUACCAAAGCUGGUACUAUUUAAUUUAUUUAGGGCCUUUGUUGCAGCCAAUUAAGACGUGUGGGGAUGGUUUAUGGACUAAUUUCCAUUCUUUAUUAGGUAACAGACUUUGGAUCACUUGAACUUUCUCCAGUUGAUGGCCGCACACUGACAGACUUUAUGCAUUUAAGGGGACUACAAAUGCGCUCUUUAGGUUGUGUGGUGAGGAAUUUCUCCCUCUCUUUCUCUCUCAGACAUGCAACCUAUUCACCCAUGGAAAUCGGAAUAAACAAAUGUUGUCUUUCUUUAUGUAAACAAAGCCCCCAACUUAUCUUUCUAUAUGUAAACAAUCCCCCAAGUCUUCCUGGAUUGAAUUAUCAAUGUUCCUUUUUGAAAAUUGUACUACAUGAUAGAAUUUUUGACAAUGUUGACCUUUUCCAAGACAUUGAAUUAUUGUCGUCUUUAGAUAUUACUGUAUGUUGUAUGACAUACAAUAUUUUGAGAAAUUGACAUGCUAAUACUUGGAAGCCUGGUAUUCUUCUUCUGUUGGUUCUAAUCCCAUUUACAAAUUCAGGUUGAACUUGCAGAGAAGCUUCCUCACAUACAAUCACUUUGUAUUCAUGAGAUGGUUACUCAAGCGUUCAAGCAUGUACUCAACGGAGUCAUCGCAUCUGUUGACUAUUUAUCAGACCUAUCUGCAGCUAUAGCUUCUUCCCUAAAUUUCUUAUUUGGCUGUUGUGAGAUGGAAGAUGAGCAAAGCUGGAAUGAAGAUCAUAUCCUCAGAUUGCAGUGGCUACGAACAUUUCUUGGCAGAAGAUUUGGUUGGUCCCUGAAAGAUGAAUUUCAGCAUUUGAGAAAGAUUUCAAUUCUACGAGGGCUUUGCCAUAAGGUAAGGUAUUGUCUUUUCGGUUCCUUUGGCAGCCGAUUAUUUUCAAAGCUUGAAUUUUGCUUGUAAACUUCACCCAGGUUGGGUUGGAGUUGGUUCCAAGAGAUUAUGAUAUGGAUUGCCCAAACCCAUUCACGAGAGAUGAUAUUGUCAGCAUGGUUCCUGUGUGCAAGGUGAGACUAUUUUCUCUCUUAAUUGUGUUUUGAUUUAGUUUUUACAUUCUCAGCGAGUCACUCAUUUGUAAAUUGAAUGUAAUUGUGCUAUUUUUAUGGCAUUCUACAGCAUGUAGGUUGCACUUCAGCCGAUGGACGGACCUUAUUAGAGUCAUCCAAAAUUGCCCUUGAUAAAGGAAAACUAGAAGAUGCUGUAAAUUAUGGGACAAAGGUAAUAACCCACUCGAUCUAUAUGUAAGAAUUACAUUAUUCUUUUCAAAAUAAGGCAUCUCUUGAUCUCAUAUGAUGUAUUACUUGCAUUGUAAGGCACUGGCAAGGAUGAUAGCUGUUUGUGGUCCCUACCAUCGGACUACUGCAAGUACUUACAGUCUUCUAGCUGUAGUUCUCUACCACACUGGAGACUUUAAUCAGGUACGACAAUCUUCAGUUGUAUUUCAGUGUCAACUUGGUGAUUCUAAGUCGAGUAUAAUUAUAACGUCCUUCUGUACGGAGGUUCUCAUUCAGCGGGACAUUUGAUUUGAAACUUUGUGUUAUGGUUACUUUUUAUGGUCUUGUAUAAAGAUAUGCAUUAGGAAUUAUAAUUUUCUGGAUUUGGGAAUUACAUGUACAGGCAUUAGCAUAAUUUUGAUAUCAGAUUAUAUAUUUUAACUAAAUCAAACACGUUCAUGGUUCUUAUGUUCAGGCAUUUCGUCUAAUGGCAUCUGCGUCUGAGUGUUAGAGUAGCGUUCGUAUGUGCUCAAGAUAUCUUCUUCUUCAUUUUAGGCAACUAUAUAUCAGCAGAAGGCAUUGGAUAUUAAUGAGAGGGAACUUGGUCUUGACCAUCCAGAUACAAUGAAAAGCUUUGGGGUGUCAAAGGAAUUAGCAGAUUCUAUGGCAAAUUCUAUGCCUGUACAGCUGUAACAAUUAUCUUUAUGAUUGUAAAUCUUUUAUGUUUUCCUUAUUUAGGAUAUACUAGCUGUAAGCUAAUUUAGAUAGUUUUGUAUAUGAUAGUUUAGCGAUGUUUAGGGCUAAACAUAAGCUUGUAUUCAUAGUAUAUAAUGGGAAUUCUCCUCCAAGAGAAAAACAACUUUUGCUCAAAAUUCUCUUAGUUUAUCAUGGUAUCAGAGUCUCAGUUCUGAAUUCUCUUCUUCCUAGUUCAUUCUCUUAUUCUUAGUUAUUUUUUAUCAAGUUAUCUCAGCCUCAUGUCUUCAGACAAGUAUGAUGCCUUUUUGAUCCGUUUUAAUGGCACAAACUACUCAGCCAGGGCAUUUCAUUUCGAGAUAUUUGUCAAAGGCAAAGAUCUAUAGGGACAUGUUGAUGGCAAGAAACCUGCCCCUGACAAAGACAUAGACCAGGAUGGGCACGCCAAGUGGGAAGUCAAGGAUGCUCAAAUCAUGGCAUGGAUUCUAGGAUAUGUGGAAUCCAACUUCAUCUUGAAUCUUCGACCCUUCAAGACCGUAGCAGGAAUGUGGAAUCAUCUGAAGAAACUCUAUAGUCAAACCAACACUGCUCGUCGAUUUCAACUUGAACAUGAGCUAGCCAAUCUCCAACAGGGCAGUCUCGCUAUUUCUGAUUUUUAUUCUAGCUUCAUGAAUCUUUGGGCUGAAUAUACUGAUAUAAUCUAUGCUACCUUACCUCCCAAAGGUCUUAGUUCUGUUCAAUCUGUACAUGAAACUACUAAGAGGGAUCAGUUUCUGAUGAAAUUGAGAUCUGAAUUUGAAAGCACUAGGUCUAAUCUUAUGAACCGAGAAUCUGUCCCUUCCUUGGAUACAUGCCUCAAUGACUUAUUUCGUGAGGAGCAACGACUUCUUACUCAAAACACCAUGGAACAACAAAAAUCCACUUCUGUUCUUAUAGCUUAUGCAGCUCAAGGCAAGCCAAAAGGUAGGGACAUAAGUACAGUUCAAUGUUUUUGUUGCAAAGGAUUUGGACAUUACGCUUCAAAUUGUUCAAAAAAAUUCUGCAACUAUUGUAAAAAGGAUGACCAUAUCAUCAAGGAAUGCCCUACUCGACCCCCCAAGAAAUCUGAAACAGCAUAUGCUACCGCAGUUGGUUCUUUUAGUGCUGGUAGUUCUGUCGAUACAGCACAUUUGACACAAAAUGCUCCUGCUCCUGUUCAGUCUGUGACCCCAGAAAUGAUUCAACAAAUGAUUAUUACUGCAUUCUCCUCAUUAGGACUCUCAGGUAAAUCACCCACUACAUCUCCUUGGUACUUUGAUUCUGGGGCUUCCCAUCACAUGACAAACAAUGAUAAAUUCCUCACCAAUGUAAGUAAAUACCCUGGAAAUCUAAAAAUUCAUACAGCUGAUGGCAACUCUUUACCUAUCACAGCCACUAGUGAUGUUUCUUCUUCUAUAACCAAUGUCUUUGUCUCUCCUGGUCUUACCACUAAUCUUGUUUCAGUCGGUCAGUUAGUUGACAAUAAUUGUAAAGUAGAAUUCUCUAAAUCUGGUUGUGUUGUGCAGGAUCAGCAGUCAGGGAAGAUGAUUGCCAGGGGGCCUAAAAUAGGACGUCUUUUCCCUCUCCAAUUUGCUGAGUCUCCAUGUUUCUCUUUGCCCAUCAUCACUUGUAAUUUUACUAAUGUUAAUUAUCGAGCAUGGCAUAAGCGUCUAGGACACCCAAACUCUAAUGUACUUCAUGCUUUGCUAAAUUCUGGUUUACUUGGGAAUAAAAGAUCACACACCAAAUGUUGUCCAGCCUUUUGAUUUGAUACAUAGUGAUGUGUGGGGUAUGACGCCCGUUACAUCUCAUGCUAAUUACAAGUACUUUGUCACUUUUAUUGAUGACUAUAGUUGCUUCACAUGGAUUUAUUUUCUACAUUCUAAAGAUGAAGGGUUCUCUGUUUUCAAGCUUUUUCAUGCGCAUAUUCAGACCCAAUUUUCAACUAAUAUCAAAAUUCUUCGCUCUGAUAAUGGGGGUGAGUAUAUGUCUCAUUUAUUUCAAGAAUUUUUGCACACCAAUGGUAUAAUUUCUCAAAGAUCUUGUCCUUCAACCCCCCAACAAAAUGGGGUGGCUGAAAGAAAGAACCGUCACCUUCUCGAUGUUGUUCGCACUCUUCUAUUAGAGUCAUUUGUACCCUCUCGUUUUUGGUGUGAAGCUCUCUCCAUUGCUGUCUAUCUCAUCAACAGAUUGCCCUCUCCUUCCUUGAACCAUGUCUCCGCUUUCUUUCGAUUAUUUGGCUAUACACCAAAUUACUCCCAUCUCCGUACCUUCGGUUGUGUGUGCUAUGUUCAUCUUCCUCCACAUGAACGCACAAAACUCACAACCCAAGCUGUGAAAUGUGCUUUUCUAGGAUAUUCUAUGCACCAAAAAGGUUUUCUUUGCUAUGAUCCAAAUUUGCGUCGUAUAAGGGUUUCUCGAAAUGUGAUUUUUUUUUUAAAUCAGUAUUUCUUUUUCGCACAUCAGGACGAUUUUUCCCCUUCAUUUUCUGUUUUGCCAAAGUUUACUAACCCUUCUGCAGAUUCUGUACCUUCUAAACCUCUCAUAGUCUAUCAGCGACGCAAGAAUUCAGUACCUCUCAGGCCCCCUCCAGCAACUUCCCUAAAUGCUGAUCCAGUUCCAGCAACUGCACCUGAACCUCUCAGACACAAUACUCGGGUUCAUAGACCACCGGAUAGGUAUGGUUUCACCUAUCCAUUAUCUUUGACAGCCACUUUGUCUUCUAUUCAUAUUCCUUCAUCAUAUAAACAGGCAAUGGAGCAUGAAUGUUGGCGAAAAGCUGUUGAAUCAGAACUUCUUGCACUUGAGGAAAACUAGACUUGGGAUAUUGUUUCAUGUCCUCCAUUUGUGAAACCCCUUAGUAGUAAAUUAGUGUUUUCUAUCAAGCUGCGUUCUAAUGGAUCCAUAGAUCGUUACAAGGCUCGGUUGGUGGUUCUUGGCAACAAGCAAGAAUAUGGCCUAGACUACGAUGAGACCUUCGCACCGGUAGCCAAAAUGACCACUGUUCGAACAAUAUUAGCUCUUGCUGCAUCACAAUCAUGGUCUUUACAUCAAAUGGAUGUAAAGAACGCUUUCCUACAUGGUGAUCUCAAGGAGGAAAUUUACAUGAAACUUCCCUACGUUAUGACUACUUCCUCACCUAAUGAUGUUUGCAAACUAAAAUGUUCUUUGUAUGGGUUGAAGCAGGCACCGCGAGUAUGGUUUGAGAAGUUUCGAUCAACUCUUUUCGGUUUUUCAUUCACUCAAAGUUAGUAUGACUCCUCCUUUUUUUUUCCAACAGACAUCUAAGGGCAUCGUUGUUCUCCUUGUUUAUGUGGACGACAUCGUUAUCACUGGUUCUGAUAUGGAGGCAAUUUCUAAACUUCAGAAUUUGUUGCACUCAACUUUUCACAUGAAAGACCUCGGUCAACUCACCUAUUUUUUGGGGUUAGAGGUGCAUCAUCGGACUCAAGGUAUCUUCUUGAAUCAGCACAAGUAUAUUCAGGGUUUAAUUCAAUUAGCUGGACUUAUGGACACAAAUUCUGUUGACACCCCAACGGAACUUAAUGUGAAAUAUCGACGAGACGAAGGGGAACUACUUCAAGAUCCUACUUUAUAUCGGAAGCUGGUUGGUAGUCUUAUCUAUCUAACUAUCACCGCCCAGACAUCUCUUAUGCUGUCCACACCGUCAGCAAGUUCAUGCAAGCCCCUCGACAUCUCCACCUAUCCGCAGUCCGCCGCAUCAUUAGAUAUAUUCUUGGCACUCCUAGCAGCGGUUUAUUCUUCCCUACUGGUUCUUCACCCCAACUACAAGCCUACAGUGAAGCAGAUUGGGCUGGCUGCCCGGACACGAGAAAAUCUACUAUGGGAUGGUGCAUGUUUCUUGGUGAUGCCCUUAUCUCUUGGAAAUGCAAAAAGCAAGACUCAAUCUCCAAAUCAUCCACUGAGGCAGAAUAUCGGGCCAUGUCUGCAGCCUGCUCCGAGAUCAUUUGGUUGCGUGGUCUCUUAACAGAGCUUGGUUUCUCAUAACAUCAACCUACUCCCCUACAUGCUGACAACACUAGCGCCAUCCAAAUUGCAGCCAACCCUGUCUACCACGAGCGCACGAAACACAUAGAGGUUGACUGCCACUCUAUUCGAGAGGCCUAUGACCGCCAAGUUAUCACCCUCCCGCAUAUCUCCACUACUCUACAUAUUGCGGAUAUCUUCACCAAAUCCAUGACACGUCAGCGACAUAACUUUCUUGUUAGCAAAUUGAUGCUUGUAGAUUUACCAGCAUCAAUUUGAGGGGGGAUGUCAAAGGAAUUAGCAGAUUCUAUGCCUGUACAGCUGUAACAAUUAUCUUUAUGAUUGUAAAUCUUUUAUGUUUUCCUUAUUUAGGAUAUACUAGCUGUAGGCUAAUUUAGAUAGUUCUGUAUAUGGUAGUUUAGCUAUGUUUAGGGCUAAACAUAAGCUUGUAUUCAUAGUAUAUAAUGGGAAUUCUCCUCCAAGAGAAAAACAACUUUUGCUCAAAAUUCUCUUAGUUUAUCAUGGGGAUCUUUCAGUUUUCUAUUAUCGCCUUCAACACAUUGAAUUGGCUCUUAAGUAAGUAGAUCUACUUGAUUUACCGGAGCAACUUUGUGAUUUUCAUUCUCUAACUGAUUAAGGUUUAUUUAUUCAUAUGUGACCUUUGUAUACCUUUGUAUUGAGUCUGCUUCGAACUAAUGCAGUUUUUAUCUACCUACUUUAGCUUUUAUUUGUCUUUUAUUGGCUCUAGCUCCUGAUCAUACCACACUAUUGGCAGAUAUGUAAAUCAUGCCUUAUUCCUUUUGCAUUUUACUUGUGGACUUUCACAUCCAAAAACAGCUGCAACAUACAUAAAUGUGGCUAUAAUGGAAGAGGGCAUGGGAAAUGUUCAUCUUUCUCUUAGAUAUUUGUAUGAGGCCCUUAAAUGCAACCAAAGACUAUUAGGAGAUGACCAUAUACAGGUUUUUCUCUCUCUAUUUACGCAUGUAUACACACUCUUUAGACUUAUAAAUCUUUCUGUAAACUCAGCAUUUUUUUGAUUUCUUCACGUGACAGACAGCUGCAAGUUAUCAUGCCAUAGCCAUAGCUCUUUCUUUGAUGGAGGCAUAUUCACUAAGUGUGCAACAUGAGCAAACUACACUGAAGAUUCUCCAAGCAAAGCUUGGACUAGAAGAUCUGCGUACUCAGGUGACUACAUGUAGUCAUAUUUUAAUUGGUUCUGUUGUGCAAUUUGGCUAGUUGGCUUUUCUCUUGUCAAUCUUUUACAGGUGAUAUUAUGAUAUAAAACAAAUUGUAUCGGCGGCCUAUUUUGGUGUCAAAUAUGGAUAUGACCCAUUCAUUAAUCGUAUCGAAAUAUCAAAAUACAGAUAUGACCUGUUUAUUAAUAGUGUUGACUUGUUUAGUAUUGAAUACAAACAAAUUAAAAAUUAAUUUAAAAAUAACAAAUGUGUCAAAAAAAUAAGUUAUAAAUAAGUUAAAAUGACAUAAGUAUGACAUGAAUAAGUUUAUAACAUAAUAUGAGUAUGACAUGAGUCGUUAAUUUAGUGUUUAGUAUAUAUUUUAGUUUUUUUUUCCAAUAAUAUUAACACAUAAUAAUUGAUAUUUGUGUUAUAAAUGUAUAAUCAUGUUGAGAUGGACCAAAACAUAUAUGACAUGGUUAUUUAUCAUGUCGUGUCAAUUCAUUUAUUGAUCGUGUCAAUAUUUGUCAACAAAAAUAGGGGUCAUAUGUCAUAUUAUGUUGUGUAAUCGUGUCAUAAUCCCUUUUGCCACCUCUAAUCUUAACUGUCAUGAGAGAAUUUCUCAAGUUCCAUAUUAUUGAUGGGAAGAGAUUUUUUUUAUUUUGUUGUUUUUUUUUUCGUUUUACAGGAUGCUGCUGCAUGGCUGGAGUAUUUUGAAUCAAAAGCUCUAGAGCAGCAAGAAGCGGCACGGAAUGGAACUCCAAAGCCAGAUGCGUCCAUUGUGAGUAAAGGUCACCUUAGGUAUUAAUAGGGUAUUCCCACAUUACUUGUUUCUAAAUUGUUGAUUAUUUCUUGUGGCACCAAGAUCUAUAAUGAUCGCUUUUUGCAGUGUAUCAGAUCUCCUGGAUUACAUAAGUCCUGGUCAAGAUUCUAAAAGAAGCGAAGCACAUAGGAAACAACGACGUGCAAAGAUAGUACAUAUUUAGUGCAUGUUUGGUAUGAUUUAUCUAAUGAUCAUAAAUUUUUAUUUAAUCCUAUAAGCUCUUAUCAAAAAUUUUUUUGUUGUUUAAUUUUUUUUUAGUAGAGCUCUUGAAAAUGAAAUAAGCUAUUUUGCCUCUACUACCAAAACCUCAAAUUUUGUGCUUUUGAGAGUAGAGGUUAAAAAGUUUUUUUUUAAUAUUAAAAUAUCUAAAAUAUUCUCUACUUAUUUGACAAUCUUAUUUUAUUCUUUUCAAAACAUAACUUUAAAAAUUUGCUUAUUAAAGUAAUUUUAUAAUUUUUAAUAAAAGCCCUUAUUGACAACCAAACAACACAAAUUUUUUGAGUAAAAACUUUACUUAUAAAAUCUUUACUAGCAAAACUCUACUCAAAUAAGAUCUAUUUGAAAAGCUAUGUGAAAUGAAGCAUUAAGCAUGCUGCUGUUCUCUGUUCCUUUUUCCUUGUGAUGUCAUCUGAAUGGAUUCUUAAACUAAUUGUAGUUAGGAUUUGGUAUUUUAGGGUACACUCUGCUGGCUGCAUAUAGUUUUGGAUUUGCUGAUUACACGAGUAAACUUGUUGUCCAUGCAAAUGCAACUAACUAUUGCAGGAUAAUAGUUCUACUUUUCUGAGUGAACUCUGAAGGCACCAAUUAUAAACAUCCAUUUCUGGCAUAGAAUCACACUUAUCUAACAUGCUUAUACAGAUCGCAGACAUGAUUGAAACUUUAGAAGGUUCUGAUCUAUUGAUGGCCAUAGAUUGGGCCAGCUGAUAGUUAGUAGCCAAUGAUGAAGGGUUGCUUGGUCAAGCAGCUAGUUCUUUGGAAAUUCAGAGAUGAUGAGCAGAACGAGUGAUGUUUUUGUUUUCCCCCGUAAUCUUGAACAGAGUGGGAAGAAACCGUUAAUUUGAAGUGCAAUGGAUGGAUAUGACAGAUCUAUCAUUUUGGCUAGUAGAUGGAGUUCUUCCAUUCUACUCUUAUUUAAUGGUUGUUAUUAUUGAUUCUAGAAAAACAUUUUUCGAUUUGGCAGUUGGAGUUUUUCCCUUUUUUUUCCCCCAUCUUGUAGGCCUUAGAGAACCAAAUAAUACUCCACAUUAGAUAGACAGGAUUAUUGUGUGCUAAUUUGAAGUAUUACAUGGUUGACAAUUUAAGACACUAAUAAAGUAUUUCGCUUUGAUUAUUUUUUUUGAGAAUUCCAUGAUUCAAAAGGCCGAAGAAUUUCGUUAGUUUAACAUAAUAUAUAUUAGCAUAAUUUCUCACUGAGUGUUUUUUUCAACAUUUCAGGCAUGUGCAUAUCAAAUUCCCAUUUAUGUUCCACUGAAUUCUGCCUCAUGUUAUGAUUGUAACUUAAAAUGAAAUAUUUCUAUGUGCUCAAUUUUUGACAUUUUAUAUGCAUACAAGUUAAAAAGCUUUUGUUUAUUUUUGUUUAUUUAUUUAUUUUAGGUAAUGCAGAUUAGGGAAAAGAUUCAUGGAGCACAUCAUGAUAUGAUGGUGGAAGAUGCACUGCCCCAUGAUGGAUUGAAAAAAAGUAUGACUAUAGUGGAAAGCAAGACCGAGGAAGUAAUGGAAGACAGUGUUCAACCUGAAGAGCCAGAAGAGAAUGAUAAUAUUACUAGAUAUGGACCGGCAAUUUCAGGUGAGUUUGUCUAUGAAACAAAUUCAGAUGAGGGGUGGCAAGAAGCCAAUCCAAAAGGUAGGUCAGGAAAUGCUGCUGUUCGGAAGCUCAGCCGGAGGCGACCUUUUCUUACAAAGCUAAAUGUCAAUGGUUGUGAACAUUCAAAUCUUAGAGAAAAGGGCAAUAGACGGGAAAUUUUAUCUCCAGCACGGGAAAAAGCUUCAAGGACCACCACCACUGAGUUAACAGGCAUGAAGGAUUCAAUUAAACUGCAGGCAAAAGCUUCCGUCUCCAAAGUUUAUGCAAGUCUACCAAACCUUACUGCCAUGACUUCCAAGUCGCUGUCUUACAAAGAAGUAGCUGUGGCACCACCAGGUACGGUUCUAAGGCCAUUACCAGAGAAACCUGAUGAAGAAAUUGAAUAAAAAACUGAAACACAGAUGUGCGGUAAUGCUCCUGAGACAUCAAAGGCGGAGUUGAAUAACCAUUUCUCUCCAGUUGAAGAUGUGCCAGUUGAUGGUCGUUCUCAAGAAACUCAUGGAAGUGCAACUCAAUCUGAAACUACUGCUGCAGAUACCGAGGAAGUUCCUUCUUCUUCUAAUGAGGAAAAGCCCAUGGAAACAAAUGGGAGUAAGCUUUCUGCUGCAGCUGAACCAUUCAACUCCAUGACUCAUCUGCUGAACUCUGUAGCAGCCACGAGUAUUUAUGAUGCGCGAACUAGUCAAGGUAUGCUUGCUGAACCUGCUGUACCUUCGGCUGCUGCUAGAGUUCCUUGUAGGCCAAGGUCGCCUCUCUAUUAUAGAAAUAAUUAUUCUUACAUGAUGAAAUAUGGAUUUCCAAAAUACCACUCUUCCAUUAUGGAAAGAAACCUGUUGGGGCCUUCAAGAAUCAUGAACCCGCAUGCACCUGAGUUUGUGCCAGUGAGAGGUUGGCAAAUAAAUCCUGGAUAUGCAGAUUCAAAUGUUUCAAAUGAGUCGAACUCUUCAAUGACACAAGUGAGGCAGAAGAUGAUAAACUUGACAAAAUGUCCAGUAUCCAAGGCGAAGAUAAUACCUCAAGAAAGAGCAGUACAGAGGCCGAGAAGUCAGAGCUGGCAAGACAGAUACUACUUAGCUUCAUUGUAAAGUCAAAUUGAGAAUUUGAACAAACACAAACAUGGAUACAUAGCUGUUUGGAGAAAAGCCAACGGAUACAUAAUACAGCACGAUAAGUUAUACACGGCCGAACCGUAUGUGCUAGUAAGCACAAACAUAUUUGAAAAGCCAAUAAUAGCAUGUGUCAAUACAUCUAUCAACGAAAUAGAACCACAGUUUGCGCCAGUACGAGUUUAUCCAAAGUGCUGCAAAUAAACCCAAACUCACCGAUGCAUAGGAUGCUCCAAAACUCCAUCUUAAUGCCACCAUGUCAAUCACAGAAUCGCUUUCAUCUUCUCCUCCUCCUGUAGGUGUCGCUGGUGGUGUCAAAGCACUGCUGCAUUUCCUCUUUAUCAUUGAGCCACAAAGAGCCGAAUUACCUUUAUAACUGCAGUCAUCAAAGGUGGCAAACUGCUCUUUGUCUGGGAUUGGGCCGGACAAAUUGUUGUAUGACACAUUGAAGUUUGAUAAAAAGUUGAGCUCAGUUAGUUGAGGAGGAAUUUGGCUACUUAAUUUGUUGCGGGAAAGGUCAAGGCUCUCUAUCAUUUUUAGAUUGGAGAAGCUCUCUGGUAUAGCACCUGAUAGUAAAUUAUUGGACAGAUUAAGUGCACGAAUAUUUUGAAGUUGCCCAAUUUUCCAUGGAAUUUCUCCACUGAACUCAUUGCCUGACAAAUCUAGUCCAGCCAUGUAGUUGAGGUUGCUACCGAUGAAAAAUUCAUAUCUAUUCUUUGUCACAAAUUUUGCACCUACUUGUUGAUCUUGUCUAAAAUGUAGUUCAACUGGCAGUUGCAGCUCAAGAGAGGAAUUGUAGUAGGCAACAGGGGAAUCAACAUUAUUUGCAUAAAAAAAUUCUGACGAAUCAUCAUCAGUCGCUUCUCUCCAGAAUGGCACGUUACCCAAACAUGAAGGUAUCGGCCCAUUAAGUCUGUUACGUGAAAGAUCCAUGAUACUUAAUUUCCUUAAUUGGCACAAUUGAUUAGGAAUACGUCCUUGUAGAUAGUUCCCUCUCAAAAGAAGAACAUGCAAAUUCGAACGCUCAUUGAUCUGAUGAGGAAUCCUACCAAAAAGUUUAUUGUCCCUCAAAUCGAGGGUCAAUAAUGUAGAGCUUCUAAGCAAUGCAAUUGGAAUUAACCCCUUAAUUGCAUUGUUUUGCAGAUAAAUGUGCUUCACGAAUGAAAGAUUGGAGAGAGAUAUCAAACUAUUUUCGGAGAGGUCUAUAAACUCAAGACUUUUAAGAUUGUUGAGCUGGACCGGAAUAUUACCUUGCAAAUAGUUUUCUGACAUUAAAAGAACCGAAAGGACUGAGAAGUUCCCAAUCCAGUGGGGAAUAUCGCCGGAUAACAUGUUGUUGGAUACAUUUAAUACUCUUAGCAAAGUGGAGCUCAACAAACCAUCUGUCAUCUUCCCACUGAAAUGAUUGUUGUCCAAAUAUAACGAACCCAAAUCAGUCAAGUUCAUAUAAUUGGGAAAAAGUUGGCCAUAGAAAUUGUUAUUUGAUAGGUCCAACCAAUCUAAGGAGAGGCAACUAGAGACUAUAGGUCGAGGUAAUUUUCCCGUAAAAUUAUUUCUAGACAAAUCCAAAAUAGUUAGCUCUUUCAUCUCACCAACUGAAUAAGGAAUAUUACCUUCAAAAUUAUUUUUUGACAUAUCCAAAUAUAUCAAUUUCUGAAAGAUAAUACCCAAAUUCUCUGGUAGCUUACCAGAGAAAUUGUUACUGGAAAUAUCUAGAUGACGAAGCUUAUCGUAUUUGGCAUUGGGAAGUCGUGGAAGAAUUCCUGAGAAUGAGUUAUUCCACAGAAACAGAACUUCUAAUCCUGUGUUGUUUUGCAACAACCAAGUUGGAAAAUUGCCAACCAAUUGAUUGUGAGAGAGAUCAAGGAAUUUUAAGUUGGAUUGGUGUAAAAGAAAACUGGGAUUGACAUUUAAGCGGCAGUGAGGUAAUUGGAGAACCUUGAGAGGAUAUGUGGGGAGCCAGUUUUCGGUUUUCACUUGCAACAUAUCGUUUUGUGGCGAGAGUAGCAAGACCUCAAGCUUUGAAUGAUUAGCCAAUGAAUUUAUUGAGAAUGUUCCUUGGAAAUCGAUGAAAGAGAGAUCCAAAUAUUCAAGUGAUGUGAGGUUGGCUACUAUAGAAGGUAAGUUUCCACUUAACCGAUUGGAAGAAAUAUCAAGAACUUUGAGAUGAGUCAAGUUGAUAAGACAUUGAGGGAGCUGACCCUCAAAGUUAUUUGAGCUUAGAUCCAACUCAAAAAGAUUCUUCAAAUUACAUAUUCCUAAACCUGAAAAUAAAAAGCUCAAAUUUCAUAAAACGAAAACCAAUUAUAGCGCAUUCAAUCAUAAAACCAAUAUAAGACUUAUAAAACCGACAUGAAAUUAAAUUGUCUAAGUAUUUUGGUCAACAUAAAUAAUAAUAGAAUGAUAUGAAUUUAUUUCUCAUAUAAUAUGAUGUUGAUUGCAAAAGCGUUUCAAUUAAUCUAACAAAAAUAAUAAUAAAAAUAAAAAAGCGCUCAAUAAUUCUUGCUCAUCAUAAUCAAUUCAAAAAGCGUUCCAGCAAUUCUUGUUGUUUAAAAUUAUGAUUUUCUGCGGAAGAGUUUGUUGACCUCAUCUUUUUGUUGGAUAUUGAUUCUCUAAUCUCUAAAUUUGUUGGAUAAUGUAGAGAGAAACUCGUAAUAUUUUAGUUGCCUGGCAUUCAACAAGAAUUUUUUUUUAAAAAAAAAAUUGUUUAAUUUAACCAAAAAAACCUUGUUAAUUAGACUUAGAUUUAAUUUUUUUUUAUAUAUUUUUCUAUUUAAAAAAUUAAAAAUGAGUGAGUAGGGGUAGAAACAUCAUUUUGUAACUAGUUGUGGGGGCAAAAAUGUUAUUUUGUAACUAAUUGUAGGAGUAAGAAUGGCGUUUUUUAUAGUUAAUUGUAGGGUAGAAACGUCAUUUUGUAACUAAUUUAUUAUUCUUAUUAAAAUUAACAACAAAAGUUAACAGAAUAUUGCACGCUCAAAUAUUUUUAAAAAAUAUGUCAUCUUCUUAAAAUUUGUUAAAAUACGUGUCAUCCAAAGGUAAUUGACCAUUUAUAUUAUUAUUAUUAUUAUUAUUAUUCCCAAAAAAUCAAUUUCCCUCACAAUAAUCUUUUCUUUUCGUAUACAUUAUACUAUUUAUGUUUUUAUAUAUUUACUAAAUCAAAUAUGUAGAAUUUAUCAUUUUCUUUGAACAAAAAAAUAGCAAGGUCACCUAAUUUAUUCUUAAAAUUAAAAUAAUCAAUAUCCAUUGCUUAAUCUUAAGUUUUAUGGAAAUUAUUCCAAUAAUAAUUCUUUAAAAUAUUCUUACCAAACACAUUUUUCUUUUUCUCAUUUUUGAGAUUAUUUUUGAAAAUGAUACCGAACACAUUUAUAAAUUUUAAAAAUAAAUUUAAAAAUAGCAUUUUUAUUUUCAUUUUUUGGGGUGAAAACAACGAUUAGAAAACAAUAAUGGGUUCUUGUUUAUCAUCCUUCAACAUAAAAACACAGUGUAAAUUGUUUAAUUUGGGUUUCUAGAGAAUUUUUUAUAUUACUAUUACUCAAAUUUUAUGCUUCCAAGCUUUUGAAUUUAUCUAAUCCUGCAGGCUGCAUCAAGAAUUAAUGAACAUAUGAUAAAAAAAUAUUUUUUUAUUCAGAACUAUAAAUAUUGAAAUAAAAAUAAAUAUCAUGUGAANNNNNNNNNNNNNNNNNNNNNNNNNNNNNNNNNNNNNNNNNNNNNNNNNNNNNNNNNNNNNNNNNNNNNNNNNNNNNNNNNNNNNNNNNNNNNNNNNNNNNNNNNNNNNNNNNNNNNNNNNNNNNNNNNNNNNNNNNNNNNNNNNNNNNNNNNNNNNNNNNNNNNNNNNNNNNNNNNNNNNNNNNNNNNNNNNNNNNNNNNNNNNNNNNNNNNNNNNNNNNNNNNNNNNNNNNNNNNNNNNNNNNNNNNNNNNNNNNNNNNNNNNNNNNNNNNNNNNNNNNNNNNNNNNNNNNNNNNNNNNNNNNNNNNNNNNNNNNNNNNNNNNNNNNNNNNNNNNNNNNNNNNNNNNNNNNNNNNNNNNNNNNNNNNNNNNNNNNNNNNNNNNNNNNNNNNNNNNNNNNNNNNNNNNNNNNNNNNNNNNNNNNNNNNNNNNNNNNNNNNNNNNNNNNNNNNNNNNNNNNNNNNNNNNNNNNNNNNNNNNNNNNNNNNNNNNNNNNNNNNNNNNNNNNNNNNNNNNNNNNNNNNNNNNNNNNNNNNNNNNNNNNNNNNNNNNNNNNNNNNNNNNNNNNNNNNNNNNNNNNNNNNNNNNNNNNNNNNNNNNNNNNNNNNNNNNNNNNNNNNNNNNNNNNNNNNNNNNNNNNNNNNNNNNNNNNNNNNNNNNNNNNNNNNNNNNNNNNNNNNNNNNNNNNNNNNNNNNNNNNNNNNNNNNNNNNNNNNNNNNNNNNNNNNNNNNNNNNNNNNNNNNNNNNNNNNNNNNNNNNNNNNNNNNNNNNNNNNNNNNNNNNNNNNNNNNNNNNNNNNNNNNNNNNNNNNNNNNNNNNNNNNNNNNNNNNNNNNNNNNNNNNNNNNNNNNNNNNNNNNNNNNNNNNNNNNNNNNNNNNNNNNNNNNNNNNNNNNNNNNNNNNNNNNNNNNNNNNNNNNNNNNNNNNNNNNNNNNNNNNNNNNNNNNNNNNNNNNNNNNNNNUAAUAAAUAUACUUCAAAAUUAUUAUAGAAAGGCCCGGAUCCAGUGGGGUUGUUUUGUAAAUUAUCCCAAUAAGAUUGCCUAGCCUUGUUAAAAAGCCACUUGUUAGAUUGAGGUUCCCGCCUAGAAACAACGCUUCCAUGUGUCUCAAAUUUGCUAAUCCUGCUCAGAAAACAUUAAAUUUUGAUCAAGACAAUUUACGUAUAUAUUUUAAGAGAUUAACGAGCCUAACAUGCAUUUCUGCUGGCAUGAAAUGUAUAUACCUUGCUUGAUUCUGGAACCUUCAAUGCAAUUGUAAUAAAGAUUCAAAGUGGUAAGUGAAGUUAGCGUAUUCAAAUAUGGUAAUAUGCUGUCGUCGAAGAAAUUGUCACAAAGAUUUAAGAUCUUCAGCUGCUUCAAGCUCCCAUUGCUAUCGUAAGCUGCAAAUGCAUAUGAAGUAUUAAUAUUAUAAUAUGCACGAGAAAUAUAUACAUAUACAUGUACCUUUGUUCUCAUAGAGGCCUUUAAGCCAAUUAUCAGAUAAGUCGAGGCUCUGCAAUUCUUUGAAAGAAUGAAACAGUGACAUAUUCAGAAGGGAAACUCCAUAAGAAUAAGAGUUAUAAUCAGAGAAGUUGAACAUUCUUGUCCCAUUGAGUGAGAGUUGCAUCACCCGGCGUGUGGUGGCGUUGCACUUAACUCCCUCCCAAUCAUCACAACAAUCAGACGACAUUCCAUCAUCAACCCAUGAAGUAAGAAUAGAGCCUUCAUAUUCCCUAUCACUGAUUGAUAUAAAGAAGCUCUUGAGUUCCAACAGAGUAGUCCUCUCUGUUUGCAAGCAUGCUUUGUAUCCAUGCAUUUCAUUCAUCAAAACAAUAAUCCAAAUUAGUGAAAUUAACGAGAACUUAACGAAGGAAGUACUUUCCAUUGCAAAGCAACUUUUCAAUUGGUCAAUAUAAAAUUUGCAAGGAGGAAACUUCAAUAUUUAUACUAAACAUUUAUCAUCGUGGACCUUGCAAUUUGAUUGGGUGAAGAUUACCAACCACCACCUAACGAAAAUGAAACAUCUCAGAGAUAUCAAGUAAUAAAAAUACUUGAUUAUCUUAUUUUUGUUUUAGAGGGUUAUUAAAGACAAAACGUUGUCAAUACAUUAUAACAUCGCUAUCUUGAAGUCUUUGUCUUUAGUGAAGACUUGUAAGCUUGAAAUUACAUAUAUAUUGCAGCAUCGACCCAGGAGAAAAAGAACUUCACUAAUACUCCGUGAAAAAUAAAAUUAAAGUUCACUGACUCUUGAAUUAAGCCAACAAACAAGCGAGUGCAAACUAUAUUUUCUCCAACAGUUUGAUGGAGAUAGUCGUAACUAAUAAAAUAAAAGUUGUGUGAAAGAGUGUAAAUAAUUUAUCCGUAUAUUUGGGUUUACAUUGGAUUAUCAGUUAAUCUAUUAAAUAAUAUGUUUUGUAAAGAAUUUGAUUGGAUGUUUGAUAAGUUUAAUUUAGUAGUUUAAUUACUCAUAAAAGUGUGAUGUACUCUAAAAUGACAAAUACAUAAAUGUUAUUUGAAGCUUUUGUGACCCUUCAUGUUCAUGCAUUUGAAUCAAAGCCAUUAAAAUCAAAUAUAUUGAUAAACCUUAAUAAGGAAAUUAAGUUUUGAUUGCUCUCAAUCUGCAACUCGACUACUAUUACAAUCACUUGAAAUGACAAAAACAGAAAUUUCAUAUGAACUUGGGACAGAUGUACACGGGUUCAAUUUAGCUAAUUUCCCAUAUAUUUACAACUACGGGGAAAAUUAAAGCUGAUUGACUUUCAAAUUAAGCAACAAACAAGCGGCUGUCCUACUAUUUUUCCUCUACCAAUUGACGGAGACCGCCGAUGCUAUAAAACAAAAAUUGAUUAAGAAUUCAGAUAAGGAAAAUUAUCAACUGUCCGUCCUAAGUUUAUCAUUUAUUCAUUUUUCGCCUUAAGUUUACAAUUCGUAUUAGUCAUCUACUAAAAAGAUAGAAUUACACUUAUGAAAUGACAAUACAUAAACAAAUAUAAAUGGCAAUAGUGGUAAUUUUGUAUGAAUUUUUCUGUUCUUUUGGUGGUUGGUUGAUACAAAUUAAAAACAUAAGAAGAAAAAUAAAUAAAUUCAAACUUUUAGUAUUUCUGAUAGCAGGUUAAACCAAAGGAGGAGGGCUUUACAAUUUCCCUUUAAAUAAUUUAAGGGUGUGAUUGCGUUUCUAUUGAACUGUAUGCUUGGAUUUGCAUUGAAUUAUCAAAAAAUCUAUGCAAGCAUCGAAUUGUAAUGACUGACGAAGACUUAUAAGGCUUGGACCAAUGAAGAAAAAUGCUUCAUUAAUGCUCCGUGGAAAACAAGCCAGUUUGGAAGCAGUUGAUCGGAUAGUCAACAGUUGAUUGAGAUAGUCAACUAAUAAAAUAAGCGUCGUUUGGGUUUGAAAUAAUCAAAUAAUUUAUUGAGAAGAGUUGAAUUCCGUUAUUUUAUUGAGAAGAGAUCCAUCACUCCCUCGCAAUUAUCACAGCAAUCAGACGACAUUCCUUCAUCAUCGUCAAACCAUGAACUAAGAGCUUCGUCAUCGUAUCCAAUAUCACUGGCUGAUAUGAAGAAGCUUUUGAUUUCUAACAGAGCAGUCCUCUCAGUUUCCAAGCAAGCUUUGCAUCCAUGCAUUUCAUCCAAAACGACAACCCAAAGUAGUGAGGUUAAUGAGAACUUAAUGAAGGAAGUACUUCCAUUGCAAAACAGCUUUUUAUUUGGCUAAAGUUAAAUGUGAAUUAAAUAUCUUUGACUGGUGAUAUACAUAUAUUCAGAGAUUUGAAGUGCUCAAACCAAAAAAAAAAUAAAAAAAUAAAAAAAUUAUUAUAAAAAAAUUGAUGAAUAAUAUAGUUCCAGGAAGUGCUAAUGUUUGAGGGAAGUACAUCGAGGAGACCAGACGUGAUGAGCAGGUGGUUGGUGGCAGGGUUCUGCGAGCAGGUGUAUCCUGCAAGAGCCAAAUAGCAGGGGAAUAGGAGCAGGAGUAUUCUGCUUGUCCACGAAUAUGCCAUUCGGGAGGCCGAACUCCUGUCAGAGGCAUAAGGUCACUCCUGCUAGGCAUGGAGGCGAGGAGACGCAAUCAACGACAGUUGGCAGGACGUGCAUUCGUAUCCGAGAGUUAAGGCACGAGGGUCAUCUCCAUUCGCCGACAAUGGCGGUAAUGGGGCGUCCACACCCGAGAGUGGGGAGAAUGACGGGCGUGGACUGCGGAAGAUCUGGAUUCAGAGGAAGCCUAUAAAAAGGUAACCAACGAAGGUAAAAGGGUUAGAAUUUUGGCUAUUUGAACUAAGAAAAGAGAACUCUAAGAACGGAGAUUACAGAAAAGCCAUAAGAUCUGUGGCAAGCGUUCCCAGAACCUUCACAUCUGACUUGAGCGUCGGAGGGUUUACGCCGGGAAAACAACCGGCGUGCUCUGACUCGUUUCUGUGAACGCAGGGAUACUUGGAGAAGAAAGCAUACGAGGAGAGAUCCUGAUCGAGGUGAGGUUGAUCGAGCAGAUAUCCUGGUCGUAGGACGAGCAUAACCAGAAUCUCGCAUCAACAUUUUGGCGCCGUCUGUGGGGAGCUGAGCAAAAAACUUCUGUUGAUAGCAAGAAGAGGAGUGAAGCAAGUGAAAAGUAAUGGAGACAGGAGGAAGUAGUGCACAAGGGGGUGAUAUGAGGCUGAACGAUUCCGUGACGCUGAGGGAGAUAGCCAGCGAAGCCAGGGAAAAAGCCAUGUUCGACCGGAUGGGACGGAUGGAAAAACAGAUGGAGACCCUGACAACCAUCCUGCAUGAGUUGCGGAGUGAACGAAGGGUAACCCAGAAGGAAAUGGUGAGAGGUGGUGGAGUGGCACCAGGUCCCGAUGGUACAAGGAGAAGUCAAACCGCCGAGAGACUUGGUGGUGAGAGAGGUAACAUACCUUUGCGGGGAGAAUUCCAUAGAGACGAAGAGCAAUCCCCGGCAAGACAGAUUUUUUACGAGGACGAUGGGGUGGCGAAUGCAGAAGAAACAGAGUUGAGGCAACACUUGCAUGAUGUAGAGCAAGAGAGGGAUCAAGUUGCAGCACGUGACCCUGGUCGUGCAGUGCAGCUGGAGGAGGAAGUGCGCAGACUAGCGCAGAUAAUUGACGAUAUGCAAGGAAGGAGCAGAGCUCCUGGUUGGAGGAUAAUGCUGGACGGAGAAUCACCGCUCGCAGCAGAUAUCAUGAGGGCAGUUAUUCCGAGAGAUUUUCCUCUCCCGGACCUUAGAUAUUCGGGACGAACUGAUCCGCUGGUGCACAUAGAUCGCUUCAAUGACAUAACGGGGGUACAAGGAUUAUCUCAGCCCCAAAGGUGCAGGGUGUUCCCACUAUCCCUGGAGGGACGUGCACGCGAGUGGUACAAGAAACUUCCUCGGGGCAGCAUUAAAACCUUCGAGCAGAUGUGCCAGGAAUUCGCAGAGCAGUUUAGUGGGGCAAUGGCACCAGAAGAUGACAUGAUGGAGCUGAAAAGCAUGAAACAGGGGGAGCAAGAAACCUUUCGGGAAUUCAUCAAGAGGUUUCAUCGUGCUGUCCUCGACUUGGGAGCCUUCAACCACCCUCAGGCAUUAAGGGGAUUGAAAGAAGGAGUGAAGAUAGGAAGGCUGUGGUACAACUUGAGAAGCCCAGCUAUCCAGACGUAUGCGGCCGCAUACGAGCAGGCUAAGAGAGAUAUUGAGAUUGAAGAGGAGAAGGCAGCACGAAUUAAGAUAGACCAGUUAGAAGGGUUGGGGAGGAAAGAGAAGAAAGCAUUACCGGGGAAUGGGCCGAUCAGGAGGAGGAACCACCAGGCCUCGGAUAGUGGAGCAGGAGGCCGGGUAAUUGCUUACCAGCCUCAUCAGAGGCCACCACAGUAUCAGCGCAGCAGGGCGCAGCCUCCUCGCUCCCCAGCUAGGGAGCCUUGGAGAGGGCAUGGUUCAUCAUAUGGUGGUCAUCAACACUCCCACGGUGGCAGAGGGAGCAGACCAGAGGUACUGCCACCGCACCCAACUCAGAACGGAGCAAACAGAGAAAGAGCAGUGAACCUGAUUGACCAGAACCGGGACUAUGGGCGGUACACUUCAUUGAAGAUGUCCCUGGCCGAGGUGUACGAGGCCAUAAAGGAUCGAGGGUUGCUAUACCUCCCGGCUCCAAUAACUAAGCUACCCAGCAGGAGGGACAGGGGACGCUAUUGUAAGUUCCAUGGCACUCAUGGCCACACCACAGCAGAUUGUAGAGAUCUUAAGACCCAGGUUGAAGAUUUGGUGAGAAAUCGGUAUCUGGACGAGUUUAUAGAUGGGACCAUCCCAAUGGUAGCCUCAACAAGUGAAGGGGAGCAGAGUGACAGGAACUUGAGACGCGAGCAGCCCGCAGUGAGGGUUAUAGCGGGGGGUCCGACAUUGGCCGGAGACUCCAAUAGGUCAAGGAAGAAUUAUGCUAGAUACGCCAUGACCAGCAAAGAGGUAUUCUUCAACACCCCAGCAGCCAAACAUGCAAGAGUCAGGCAAGUGCCAAUCAUGUGGACAGAUGAGGAUGAAGAAGGGAUCCUAUACCCCCACGAGGAUGCUUUGGUCAUCAAGGCCACUGUCGCUAGCAAGAAGUUUGACAGGAUACUGGCUGACACAGGGAGUUCAGUUGAUGUGUUGUUUAAGUCAACCCUGGAGGAGAUGGGAAUAGCAGACCUGAAGUUGGAUUACACCAAUACCUCCUUGAAGGGGUUUGGAGGAGGAAGGCUGGUCCCUCUGGGCGUGGUCGAGCUGCCUAUCACGAUUGGGAGCUCCCCGACAGAAAGGACAAUGAUACUGGACUUUGUGGUAGUGGAUGAGGAAGGUCCUUACCAGGUAAUCCUAGGUCGGCCAUUUCUGAGGAUGAGCAAAGCGGUGCUGUCCAACCAUUAUCUGGCUCUGAAGUACCGGGUGAAUGGGGUAGUUGGAGUGGUACGAGGAGACCAGAGGAUCGCAAGAAGCUGCUACUCCUCGGCGGCAAGGGAAACAAUGCAGAUAACAUCCCUCGAUACCCGAGUGGAAAACAAGAAUGGCAGACAAGAACCUGUAGAGGAUCUGGAAAUAGUAAGCCUGGGACCAGAGAAUCCAGGAAAGACGAUCAGAAUCAGGUCGAGACUUAAGGGAGAGCAAAAGCGGGAGUUGGUGAAAUGCUUACAGACUCAUGCAGAUGUGUUUGCUUGGACACAUGAAGACAUGCCAGGGAUUGACCCGGAGGUGGCAUGUCAUAAGCUGGCAGUAAAGAAAGGUGCUCAGGUAGUAAGGCAAAAGAGGAGGUGCUUCAACCAGGAGAGGUAUGAGGUUAUAAAUGGCGAGGUGGAGAAGCUCUUGAGAGCAGGGUUCAUUCGGGAAGUCAAUUACCCUGAAUGGAUAUCGAAUGUGGUGUUGGUAAGGAAGGCAAAUGGCAAAUGGAGGAUGUGUGUGGAUUUCACGGACCUUAAUAAGGCGUGCCCAAAAGACAGUUUCCCUUUACCGAAGAUCGAUCAGCUAGUAGAUUCAACGGCUGGACAUGGUCUGCUUAGCUUCAUGGACGCGUUCUCGGGAUACAACCAGAUUCCCAUGUACGAGCAGGAUGAGGAGAGUACGGCUUUCAUCACUAACCAGGGUUUGUUCUGUUACAGGGUAAUGCCAUUUGGUCUAAAAAAUGCUGGGGCCACCUAUCAGAGGCUGGUGAACAAAGUCUUUAAGCCGUUGAUUGGGAAAACUAUGGAGGUGUAAGUGGAUGACAUGAUCACCAAGUCCAAAAUCCCGAAGGAACACGUCAGACACCUCGAGGAGACAUUCGAGCUUUUGAGGUAGUAUAAGAUGAAGCUCAACCCGGAGAAGUGUGCCUUUGGGGUCGAGUCAGGGAAAUUCCUUGGAUUCAUGGUGAGCCAUAGGGGGAUUGAAGCAAAUCCCGAGAAAAUCCAGGCAAUUGUGCAGAUGAGGUCUCCCCGUAACCUGAAGGAGAUGCAGAGCCUCACGGGUAGGUUGGCGGCGUUGAGCAGAUUCAUAUGCAGGGCUACAGAUAAGUGUCAGCCAUUUUUUCAAGUGAUAAGGAGGGGAAAGAAAACAGAAUGGACACCAGAAUGCGAGGAAGCCUUUCAGAACUUGAAGCAAUACUUGCAGCAAGCUCCACUGCUGUCCACACCGAGGGAUGGGGACAAGUUAUAUCUGUAUUUGGCGGUAUCGGAUCGGACCGCCAGUUCCGUUCUAGUGAGGGAGGAAGAAGGAGUUCAGUAUCCGAUAUAUUACACCAGCAAGGCCCUGCUCGAUGCUGAGACCAGAUACCCACCGUUGGAGAAAUGGGCACUUGCCCUUGUGGUUGCUGCUCGGAAGUUGAGGCCAUAUUUUCAAGCAUUCCUAGUCUCGGUAAUAACAAACCAGCCGUUGCGUCAAACUCUGCACAAGCCAGAUGCUUCAGGUCGGCUCGUCAAGUGGGCUAUAGAGCUGAGCGAGUUCGACAUAGACUACAAACCCCGAGCAGCGAUAAAGGCUCAGGCAAUGGCCGAUUUCGUAGCAGAAUUUACAGAGCCUGAAGUAUGUUUAGACCAACGAGAUGUAGUUGCAGACAGUGGCGAAGCUCAAGUAUGGCAAAUGUCUGUAGAUGGGUCAUCAGGGGAGCAGGGAUCAGGAGCAGGGAUUGUAUUGGAAGGCCCGGAGGGGGAGGAGAUCUCUUAUGCUGUAAAGUUAGAGUUCGCAGCAACGAAUAACCAGGCAGAGUAUGAAGCCUUGAUAGCAGGGUUGGAACUGGCUAAGGCCGUGAGAGCAGAUAGAGUGAAAAUCAGAACUGAUUCCCAGCUGGUUGCGAAUCAUGUCAGUGAAAGAUUCCAACCGAGAGAGGAAAAGAUGGAGCAGUACCUGAAGAUAGUCAGGCAGAUGAUGGGAAAAUUCGAAGCGGUGGAGGUGGUACAAAUCCCUAGGGAGCAGAAUAGUCGAGCAGAUAUUUUGGCCAGGAUGGCAGCGGUAGCAGAUCCAAAGAUGCCAAAGUCGGUCCCUCUGGAGGUGAAGUCCAUCCCAAGCAUCGAGCAGAAUUUGGAGGUGCUGCGAAUAGAACAAAAAUGCUCGUGGAUGGAGCCGAUAGUUUCAUACCUUAGAGAUGGGGUACUACCACCAGAUAAGCUGCGAGCUCGGAAGAUUAGAGCCCAGGCCUCGAGAUACACGAUGAUUGAUGGGAUACUGUAUCGGCGAGGAUAUACACUGCCGUUCCUUCGAUGUUUGGACGAGGACGACGCGGAUUAUGUACUGAGAGAAGUACAUGAAGGAAUUUGCGGGAACCAUUCUGGUGGGAGAUCCCUGGCCCAUAAGGUUUGAAGGUAGGGAUAUUUCUGGCCGACAAUGCACCAGGAUGCACAGGAGAAGACCAGGAGCUGUGUAAGCUGCCAGAGUUUUGCAAAUUUCCCCAGCCAACCACCAGAGAAGCUCACUUCUAUGGUCUCCCCUUGGCCAUUUGCUCAAUGGGGAAUUGAUCUGAUUGGUCCACUGCCAAAGGGACGAGGAGCAGCAACGCAUGCCAUAAUUGCUAUAGAUUACUUCACAAAGUGGAUAGAGGUCGAAGCCCUUAGCAGAAUCAUAGAGAAGAAAACGACAGACUUUGUGUGGAGAAACCUGGUCUGUCGAUACGGGAUCCCAUAUGCCCUAAUAACGGAUAAUGGCAGGCAGUUCGAUAAUCACAGCUUCAGGGAUUUCUGCCAAAACCUCGGGAUAGAGCUGAAGUAUUGCUCGCCUGCUCACCCGCAAUCGAAUGGACAAGUAGAAGCAGCCAACAAGACCAUCAAGAGGCUUUUGAAAACCAGGCUUGGAGCAAAAAAGGGUGCAUGGGUUGAUGAGCUGUCAGGUGUGCUAUGGGCAUACAGAACAACCCACAAAACAGCAACUGGGGAGACACCGUUCGCCUUGGCUUUUGGACAUGAAGCGGUCGUGCCAGCUGAGAUAGGAACGACCACACAUCGGACAGACCAUUUUAAUGAGCAGGAGAACGACGAGCAGAUAUGUUUGAAUCUUGACCUGCUAACGGAAAAGAGGGAGCAAGCAGCCGAGCGAUCAGUCAUAUACCAGCAGAGGGUUGCCCGGUAUUAUAACCAGAAGGUGAACAUACGACAGUUCAAGGUCGGAGAUUGGGUGUUAAGGAGAGUGAAUCAUAACACCAAAGACUCGACUCAAGGAGUGCUCGGUCCGAAUUGGGAAGGGCCAUAUAGAGUCAAGCAGCUAGUUGGUCCGGGAGCUUACAAGCUGGUUCGCAUGGAUGGCCACGAGGUGAAGCGCCAAUGGAACGCAGCACAUCUCAGGAAAUAUUUCUAGUAAGAGUCAUUAAUAUUUUCAAGUUCUUUCUGUUCGUAUUUGCCGUUAUUUAUUUUAUGACCAAGCAAUUUCAUGUAAGUUGAAUAUUCCAAUUAAUGGAACGUCGAGGAAUUUCAGUCACUUGCAACCGACAAAAUUUCUAAGGCAUGCAAAGGCUCUUCAAGUCUCAAAGCCUGUUUAUGGCGAGACAGAAGCCAAGCGUGCCAGGGUCUGCUCGACCACGCGAAGGCGAGCAGAAUCCCCAAGCAUCGAAAAAAUUUCUAAGGCAUGUAAAGGCUCGUCAAGUCUCAAAGCCUGUUUAUGGCGAGACAGAAGCCAAGCGUGCCAGGGUCUGCUCGACCACGCAAAGGCGAGCAGAAUCCCCAAGCAUCGAAAAAAAAAAAUUUUUUUUAAGGCACGCAAAGGCUCGUAAAGUCUCAAAGUCUGUUUACGGCGAGACAGAAGCCAAGUGUACCAGGGUCUGCUCGACCGCGCGAAGGCGAGCAGAAUCUCAAGCAUCGAAGAAUUUUCCAAGGUAUGUGGCAAAACCACAUGCCAAGACGAGCAGAUUCUCAAACGGAAAAUAAGUCAUGAUUACAACACAAGAAAGUAAUCAAAAACAUCUUUGUUAAUUGUUAGUAAUUAAUAGAAGAGAUAAUCGUCACAAAAAUUGUUCAUUACAGUACAAGAUAUAUAUUAAGAAGAUGGUGGAUCAGUAAGCCGAGCAUCAUCGGUUGGCUGGACCUCCUCAGGUGCAGGGGGGGUAUCACCAGUAGCAUCCAGGGGGGUGCUCGCCUCGCCAACGGCAGCAGGGACUGCACGAGGAGGAGAGUUCUCCUCCUCAAUCACGAUCGGCUCUACCCCUUCAGCAUCUUCCUUGGCCGCUUCCUCAUCCAUAUGUUGAGCAACACCAGCUGCAAGGUCAUCCAUCUUCAGAUCAGGGUGUUGCUUCCCGAGGACGGCCAUGAUGCAACGAUAAGAAUGCCGAAGUCCCUGGUCGUACUGAUUGUCGGCCUCCUUCUCCAAGUUCUCGACCUGAGCUCGGUGGGAGUCGCGGAGAGAUUCGAGCUGGGCCUCAUACGUAGCCUUCUGCCUUUCCAGAUCCUCCUUGACCUUCGUAAGCUCCUCCUCGAGGGUAAUGGCCUUUGCUUGAGCAAGUGAUUCUUGCUCUAUCAGCUUCAGAUUCUCGAGAUUCAACUCCCUUGCUUUCUUCUCGGCCACGUCAGCUCUGGUCGUCGCCGAUUGAAUAUCUUCCUUCAUCUUCCGGUCGUAGCGGCUAACCUUAGCCUUGAAAUAGGUAGUCAUGCAACUGAGGUGGAAAGCGCUAUACUGCAUGGCCCCCACCAGCUCACCCAAGGUGCAGCCGUCAAAGUCCUCCAGGUCCUUUUUGCUCACGAGUUUAGAUAACUCAUUGAGGUAGGGGACCAAGUGUUCUGCUCGGCUGUCAGGUAAACGAGAUCGAGGCCCGACAGGAGGAGAAGAGGAAGCAGGAUCCGUGGCUGCUCCACUAGUCUCCCCAAUUUGGGCAGGAGCAGGAGGUAAAGUCUUCAAGGGAGAGACUUGCUGCACGAUGUUGGCCCGCUUUGCAGAAGGGGCGUCCUUGUUCUGGUCCUUCUUCGUGGUUUGAGGUCGAGAACGUUUCCUGUUCAGAGCCCCAAUCACAGCGUCCUCCAUCUUAUGGCCAGGUAGUAUCAAGCGAGACUCGAGCAAGUUGUAAGUAGUUAACAGCUCUCGGCUCGGGCAGGAAUUGACUAGCACAGCCUCAACCUGUUUGAGCUGACCAGGUUGGAGCGGGAAAUGAACACCCCAGGAAACUACAACACAAACGAGCAGAUUGGAAAUGGACACUUGGUUAGAGACAAGCCAAUAAAGCAAGAACAAUUAUGGAUACAAGACAUCUAAAGCGAGCAGGCAACCUGGGACCGUGAAACGGGGGGGGACCCGAUAAUCCUUCCCGUCCAUUUGUGCAACCUGACCCCAAGGACCCCCAGCAAAAAAGAACUUUCUCUUCCAAUUCCCUCCACCACCAGUAGGGAGGUCGGUUAUAGGUUUCCUAGUCUUGGUACUAGAUUAGAAAUAGUACCAGCCGGCAUCUUUGGGGCUGCUCUUUAGCUGGUACAGAUGCUUCACCUCAUCAAUUGUGGGCUCGCUUUGGCAACAUCUGUCCCACAAUAUGAACAGACCAGAGAGUACUCUCCAUCCGUUUGGGUUCAACUGACCAGGAGAUAGAUUCAGCCCGUUAAGUAUUCGGGCAAAGUAAGGUUGCAAGGGACACCUCAGCCCAUACUUAAAGCUAUCCAGAUACAGGGUAACGUAUCCCCUAGGAGGCCGGCUAGGAGCAUCCUUCUUUCCUGGGAUCUUAAGAGGUAUUUCACUAGGAAUACUAUACCUAAGCCGGAGGUCAUCGAGCUCAUCAAACGUGGUCGUGCACGUCAUAUAAUCAAUAGCGUAAUCCCGCGAUAGGGCUCUACCUCCUAUUGUACUCCUCUCUUCUGGUCGCGACGCUCCUGAUGGGGACACCUCACCAGAAUCAUCUCCUCGACCCUCACUCAAGGUGUUCUCCGACCUAGAAGAUCCCUCUUCAUCGCUAUUUCCGCUCGAGGAGGUUGUUUGGGGAGACAUCCUCCUAGCGCUAGGACCAACACUGGAUCUAAUGGGCUCUAAGGGGAUCCCGGGGUCAAAAGCAGGGUCGGUGAGCAAACUAGGCAGGAAGUCCAACUCAUCGUCGUCAACCUCAAUGACCUUCUCUUUACCUUUCGACAUUCCCUAAGCGCUAACCACAACACCACCACCAACUACUACCCGAACAAAAGAGAAGAGAAAUUAUCUACAACUAUCCGAAACCAAGGAGAUAGAAGAAGUACCUGAAGUAAUGUUUCAGUCGGUGAAAGACAGAGAUGGAGGCCUUUAUGCCGGAACUUCUUUGCCGGAGAGACAGAGACGGAGACGGAGUGGAUGAUGAGUUUUCUGUACGAAAGGAUUUGGGUUUCAUAAAAGGGAUGGACUUUUAGGUUGCCAGCAUUUAACAGUACCAAAUCCCAAGGGCCUCGUAACCGUUGGUUUAAAAUUCAAAUAAAGGGGCAGAUUUCUGCCACAUCACCUCGUCCGCAAUUAAAUGUGACAUGACUCCUGGCAGCCUUUUCCAGCCCCACGCGAACGAGAACCGUUGAGUUUCUACUGUUGGUCCAUUACAUUACCCAACACCUGAAACUGGGGGACCUGUGUUUGAGGGAAGUACAUCGAGGAGACCAGACGUGAUGAGCAGGUGGUUGGUGGCAGGGUUCUGCGAGCAGGUGUAUCCUGCAAGAGCCAAGUAGCAGGGGAAUAGGAGCAGGAGUAUUCUGCUUGUCCACGAAUAUGCCAUUCGGGAGGCCGAACUCCUGUCAGAGGCAUAAGGUCACUCCUGCUAGGCAUGGAGGCGAGGAGACGCAAUCAACGACAGUUGGCAGGACGUGCAUUCGUAUCCGAGAGUUAAGGCACGAGGGUCAUCUCCAUUCGCCGACAAUGGCGGUAAUGGGGCGUCCACACCCGAGAGUGGGGAGAAUGACGGGCGUGGACUGCGGAAGAUCUGGAUUCAGAGGAAGCCUAUAAAAAGGUAACCAACGAAGGUAAAAGGGUUAGAAUUUUGGCUAUUUGAACUAAGAAAAGAGAACUCUAAGAACGGAGAUUACAGAAAAGCCAUAAGAUCUGUGGCAAGCGUUCCCAGAACCUUCACAUCUGACUUGAGGGUCGGAGGGUUUACGCCGGGAAAACAACCGGCGUGCUCUGACUCGUUUCUGUGAACGCAGGGAUACUUGGAGAAGAAAGCAUACGAGGAGAGAUCCUGAUCGAGGUGAGGUUGAUCGAGCAGAUAUCCUGGUCGUAGGACGAGCAUAACCAGAAUCUCGCAUCAACAGCUAAUAUGGCUCUUUGAACUCUCUUUACAGUAUUGGUAGAAAUUUAUCCGAUGUGUACAAGGGCUUGUAUAUUUUGCAAUAAAAUAUACAAGCCAAUAUGAAUUUCUUUCUUUCUUUCUCUCUCUUUUUUUUUUUAAGAAACAUGAAUUGGUUCGUCCAUCAAUUAAUAAUAAAACCAUAAUGUACACCGGUAUGAGUUUAUCUAAAAUCACCGGCUACACCAAUAUCAUUGUGACAUAGGAAGCGAUGAGGAAAUUUACGAGAUAUUUAUUAAACCAUAGUCUACGCCAGUAAGAUGGAAUUAGCAUUCAAUGAUCAUAGACUUUCUGCAAUUUCAUUGACUUGUGAUCAGGGAGUCCUUAUUCUACGAUGAUUAUAAUCAAACACGCACACUGCAAGGCAACCUUCAAUUGACGUAUUCUGUCAACUAACUGGGGACAAGGGUCAUAAAAGGGUACGGGAGAGAAAGCAUGAGUCUAUGCACAGUUCCGGUUUUGCUAGUUGAUGGAACAUGGAGGAUGUGUGUUAAUGUUAACCAAUAGUCAAGUUUAUUGAAAAAAGUAAGUGAGAGAAUAUUACAUGUUGAUACAUGUUAUCUGAUUGUGACUUUAGUACCGUCCAAAGAAAUUGAAAUGUGAAAUAAUUGAAGAUGCAAAAUGGUUGAUUUCACGGGCCUGGCCUUUGGCAAAGUGAAAUGUUAGCCACACACUUUACCAGUCAAGUGUCAACAUUUGUAGCAUAAGGAAAUUGCGGCAUCUUAGCUGGAUUUUGAGGGUCGCUAUAGUGGGCUCACAAAUAUUUAACAUAAUUUUGAUAAUUACUUAAACCUCGUUUCCUUGAUAAUUAAAGAAAAAGAGAAGUGAAUGAAGUAAAAGAUAUUGAUGACCGUAAUUAUGCAAAUAAAUACAAGACUUUACAGUAGAUUAGACCACCAAUUGUGCUUUUUCGUCUAAUAAUAAUGCAUCUGCUUUAACAAGAUACGAGUGAACUCAGGCUUAUCUUUCUUUCGCAAUGUAAAUUCUUGCCAAAAAAUACAUGUUAUCUACUGGUGAAUUAGUUUGAUAAAAUAAAGGCUUAAAGUUUAGUUGAGUAAAAUGUUGACGUAAAGAAAUUAGCUACUGGAAAAUCACCAAAUGCUUGUUAAGGUAAUAUACAAUUGCAAUUGAACAUCAAGUGAUGGAAACAUCAAAAACCCCAUAAAAAAUUAAACAAAACCAGUUGCAAUGCGAAUAAACAAGUUUUCAGUUGAGAUGGCAGAACUAAUUCCUUCACAAUCAAGUGUGAUUUCUCAAUUUGUUCUAUUUGCCCAAAAAGACAUGGUCAAGUAUUUGAAAGCAUUUUUAUUUAGUUGACUAUUCGAGUUUGAAUUUAGAAUAAGAGGUUAAAAAAUAAGUUUUGUCUUUACUCACCCCCUUUAGAAAAAAAAUUUUAAUUUUUUAUCAAGCUGCCUUAAAUGCAUCAUGUGCAAAUCACGUGACAUCCUGAGUUACCAUAUAAUUUGGCUUUAUAAGUGUUUUCUGUUUCUGAAAACGAAAAAUAAUAAAAUGGAAAUGCCUUUAGCUUUUGGCUAGACAUUUUCAGAUACGUUUUUCGUGAUUAUUUCAAACUUCCAACAUACCACAAAUUAUUUUUAGAGCCCGCAUGUUGGAUUGUCUCAUUUAAGUUUCGCUUGGAUUUUUAGCACAUCAUUCAAAUAAGUUGCUAUCGUAUAUCUAGCUAGUUUUGAACAAAGUCAGUGAGAAUAUUACAUCUGCUUUAGCAAGAAAUGAGUGAAUUAAAACAUUUGACCAGAUUCAAGAGAGAAAAGAAUGUUGAAAUAUUGACUUGAAUAUUAUGGUAAAAUGAGUUUGACUUUAGUACCGACCAAAGAAAUAACUGAAGAUGCAAAUUAAUUGGUUAGUUUGAGGUGCAUGGCUAUUGGCAAAGUGAAAUGUUAGCUUCACACUUCACUUGUGAACGUACAACAACAUUUGCUGCAUAACGAAAUUGCAGCGUCUCAGCCGGAUUAUGAGAGUUGUUUUCAAAUCCCAUUUCUUUUCUUUGUAACCUUUUUUUUUUUUCCGCAGCUCACGUGAUCACCAUAAUUUUGAUAACUACUCAAACGCGUUUCCGCAAUAACUAACGAAAGGAAAAGCGAAUGAAUAAGCAAGAGAUACUGAUGACAGUAAUCAUGUAAAUGAAUACAAGGCUUUACAAUAGAUUAGACCGCCAAUUUGUGCCUUUUGAAUGCAUCUGCUUCAACAAGAUACCAGUGAAUUGAGGCAUAUCUUUCUUUCACAUGUAAUCUGCUGGUGAAAUAAUUUUUAUAAAACAUAGGCUUAAAGUUAAAGCUGAUUAAAAUAUUGGCGUACGUCAAGAACGCUACAGGGAACAUUCAACCGUGAGCUGCAGUCUGCAGUCCCCAACAAUCCGGGAAAAGGUUGAGGAGGCGCGCGCCUGCACAUUAAUUUGGGAGGUCUGAUGGGAUUUAUAAAUUAAAAUAAUGUAAUUUUAUAUAUUUUUUAAAUGAAAAAUUUGUUGAUGCCGCUGUGCGAUCCAUUGGAUCCUCGCGUGCUGGCCCCACAGAAGUUUCUCCCUAACAAUCUCCAUAAAAGCUCUUUAUAAUCCAUUUUUGAUAAAAGUAUACAUAUAUUUAUUCAAAUAUUAGUAAAAAUAUCUAUAAUGCUGAUUUUUAAAUUAUACUUAAUAGACAUUUAGACCGAGCUGUAAAUCUAUGAAUUCAAACUUCGACAAAUAAACCACAAAUUAUUUUGAUCCCGUAUGUUGGAUUGUCUCCUUUAAGGCUAUGUUUACUAAAGCGGAAUGAGAAUCGAAAUAGAGAAAUCAGAAUGAAUAACUUGUUUACUUAUUAAAUUGAUGAUAGGAAUGGGAAUAAGGUGAGUAGGCUCCAAGGUCUUGAAGAGGAAAGACCUUCCUUAUGUUCAAAAUUAACCCAAUUUGCUUUCUAACUUCCUUAUGUUCAUUGAUUCUUUUGUUGUGCAGUAGUGCCCAGUGUUCUUGAUAUCACAAUCAUCACCCCAUAUGAAUGACAAGUUGUUCUCAAGGUAUACAUUUAUACUUAUUAUUAAUACUUUCCUGUUUUGCCCUCACCAGCUAUGAUUAGCAUAUUGUUUUUUAAAACAUUAUAAAUAUAAAUGAAUUAUUAAUUAAUUAUCCUUUUUUUAUGUUUGAUUGAAAUUUGCUCAAAGGGCAUCUCCACUGACAAGAUACUUGAGUAAUCAAAGUCCUUGUUUAAUAAUAAUUAGCAUAGAAUUACUACUAACAGUGGGCACGAGUUGCAUUGGUUCAGAAUCAAAUUGAACCGAUAAUUUUUACAUAAAAUGUAAAAUUCAACGACUAAGUUUUAUUUUUUUCAAUUUUAAACCGUAAAUUCCUUUCUAUUUUGUGGGUUUUUUUUUUUUAGUUUUUGAUUGUUUUUAUACAAGCCAUUUGAUUAUUUUAAUUUUUUAAAACUGAAUCUAACCGCCGAUCCGAUUCAAAAUUUUCAAGAGUAACGGUUUUGCUCCAUCCAAAUUACCACGUACUUACUUACCAUCUGCCUCAGCGACGUGCUUGAGCGCCUGUGUCCGACACUUUUGAUAAUUCAUCUGUACCUUCAUCACAAUCUUCUGCUGCAAUAUUAUAUAUAAUUAUUAAAUCAGUUAAUAAUUAGUGCAUACAUGCAUUGACAUUACAUUAACUACAGCGAUCAAACAAUUAAAGAAAUUAAGAAGACGUACCUUCAUUUUCUUAAUUAAUUUCCGAUCGAUCAAGUAAGGAGCAAUUUUAUAAUCUGGAAUGAUGUUUACAAUUUGGAAAUUUGAAAAAAAAAAAAAAAACACUAACAGCAGAACUACACAUAUCAAAGACCAAUUGAGGACCGAGAUUGAAUGAUAGAGUAGAGGUUGUUACUCUAUCAUAGUAUAAGCAUUUUGGUAAUCCUUAACAUACGUGUUUUGCAGUAAUAAAAAGAAUAAUAUGUUAUCUAUUGCCGGUAUUGAUUUUAUGAUUGCAAAUUUGUCAUUUCCUGACGUCGGUGGCCGAAGUCUCAGCAUACAUCACUCGAGACAGAAGCUGAUUAUGAAGGAAUUAAAUGCCCAAGAUCUUGCGAUAUUGCAUCUUGUUCCUCCAACCCUGUGAUCAUCAUUCAUCAUAUGGCCGUAUUCAAGAUCUCAUUACUUUAGUACGAAAUUAAUAUAUUUCUCCAUGAUAGCAACUUCUUAAUUGUUAGCUGGACAGCUUCGGUAUUGUUUGUGCCACUGAUAAUUAGCAAAUUAAUCAAUACAUUAACAGUAACGUGGGAGUGUUCAUUGGCUUAUGUUUUACAAGAAAAAAGUAAUUAGAGCCUCGUUACAUCACAUCACCGAAAGAUGAUUUACUUAGCUUUGACUAACAAAAUGGAUUAACAAUGAUUCAUCUUCAGCCCCGUGUUUGCUCUACAAAUCGAUGUACGUAGUGACAGAUCUACUGUACGAAUUCAUCAAUAAUAUAUGAUUUCUUUUUGAUACCGACGUAUACCCAUAAGUGGUGUACUCUUAUUUAGAUGAAAAAUUUACUAAAAUAAAUCUGGGUUAAUGUAAUUUGGGUGACACAUUUUUCGAUAAAAUAUAAAAGAAGUGAUAAUUUUUUUUAAAAAAAAGGUAAUGGGAUGACAAAUUAUUAGUUUUAAUGAAAUUGGUUGUCUUAUGAUGAAAAUACGUUUUUGUCCCUGUAACCUUCUUUUAAUAUUACGAUAAUGUUCUUAAUUGCUUAUUUAUUUACAUCCCAUAUGAAAAAAAAAAAGAGAACAAAAUUCAACUCAUACAAAAAUAAUAUUAUUAAAAUAAAUUUAACAAUGUAUACAUUUUAAAAUAAUUUCCAUAUGCAUAUAUGCUUGGUGAUGUUACAAACAAUUAGUAUGAAGAAAUUCAAUUUGCAGCCGAAGUACACAGUUGGUUUGGAAUAGCCUGUCGGGGCUUAGUUGAUUGUUUUUCAAGUAAUUUUUUUUUUCGGUUGACCAUAGAAUUUAAAUCUAGGAGAGAGAGAAGACAAAAGUAUCAAUUUAGAUUUUACCUACUCACUCAUUUUAAAGAAAUAUUUGGGGAAAAAGAAAAUAAUGCAGUUGCUUCCACUAGAAAAAUUAGUAAAAUAAAUGGUGAUACAGAAUGUGCCAAAAUAAAAACAGAUGCAACAUGAUGCAUAUAUUUACACAUAUAAGCAAAAAUGCUCAUCAAGGCUAUCAUAACAUGAAGCAAUUUUGCCAAUUGACAUAUAAAAUAAAAACAGAUGCAACAUGAUACAUAUAUUUACAAUUUUGAGGCGAACAAACAAUAUAUGUAUUACAAAAUAUAUAUACUGAAACCAUGUUUGCUCAGAAUGGUUGAAGGUAGGUGAAGCUCUCUCGUGUCAAAUUUUCUGAAUUAGAAAAUCUCGGGGUUUUUAAUUAAAUACCCUUUAAUAGUUUCAAAAUUAUUUAAAUACCCCCUUCUUUUUUUAUUUUCAUGGAUACCCUAACAAAUGUGAGCAAAGUCGGAAAUACCCUUAAUGAAUGCAUCAAAUUCACUCAAUGAAUUGUCUUCAUAUUUCUUUCCUCAUUUCUUUUACCCAAAUCUAUUUUUGCUGCCGAUUCUUUCAAAAUCUCUUAAAAUCUCUCAAAAUCUCUCAUAACUUCUUACACAAAUACAAUUAUGUAUUCAUUUCUUUAACACCCACUCUUUCUUUAAAGGUGCAUUGCUUAUUAAACAACCCAAUAAGGUAUGUUAAUGUUGUUGGGUUUUAAAUUUUUUAUUUUUAGGAAAAUUUAAAAAUUUUCCUCACAUUACAAUGUUUUAUUUUCACCAUUUUUUCUUAUACGUAGAAAUAUAUGCAAUGUAGGUUGUUUAAUUAUUUUUUUCAGCAAUAUAACUUAUUUAUGGUGAAAAUGUUUCGAGUCAUGCAUUCUUUUGAUACCGUGUACGUCAUAUAGUUAGUCAUGUAGGUCGUGUAAGUAAUAUAGUCGUGUAAGUCGUGUAGGUCAUGUAAGAAAUAUAGUCGUGUAGGUCAUGUAAGAAAUAUAGUCGUGUAGGUCAUGUAAGAAAUAUAGUCGUGUAAGUAGUGUAAGUAAUAUAGUCGUGUAGGUCAUGUAGGUCAUGUAGUUACUUGUAUAUGAAAUUUAAUAUUAUUGUUUUUAUUGUAUCAUCAGAUAUGAUUUUGGUACGUGUGCCUAUUCUCUUCAAUGGUGAAUGGAUUGAGCAAAAUAACGAGUAUAAGUUCAAAGGUUCAAAGGCUAAAGGGAUAAUGAUACCACGAUCGACAACAUAUGCCGAAUUGGUGGAGAAGAUAGCUGAAGUUAUUGAUAUAGAUACUUCGGAAUUUGAAAUCACAAUGAAGUUCAAACUUAAGACAUCUGAUCCUAUGCCACCAGUUACAAUUCAAACCAAUGAUGAUGUGGAAUUUUUUUAUAUUCCAAUUUAAUUUCACUUCUUUUUUUUAAUAAUUUUCGUUGACAUUUUCUACAUAGCAGCAAAUAUAAAUUCUUAGCACAAAUUAAGUCUUUAAAGAACUAAAUUAAUCUAAUGAUUAAUGGAAAAAUUCGUGUAAUUUUAAAGUCGCAAUUAAACAUAUUACAGCCAUUUAAAAAGUUUUUUUUUUUUUUUAUCUUCAAAGUGCUUUCUUCCUUUGGCUAAGCAUACAAGCAUACAUGAGGAAUGCCUGCAUAUAAUUAAUCCAUGAAAUCAAUUAAGAAAAAAAAAAUAUCAACUAUAGGAAAUUAAUGUAAUGUUAUACACAUAAGAACACCAUUCGCAGUGAUAAAAUAUUUCCACUCAUAACUAGACAUAUCAUGACUUACCAUGGCUUAUAAUUGGAAAUUAAGAAUCUCUCUAACUAAUGACAUUUCACAAGGUAAAGGUAUAUGCACCAUUCCAAUUUAUUGUGAGCCUUAUUAAACUAAAUGUAAUGUGUAGAUUCUAUUGACAAGAAACAAAAUGUGGAAUUGAAGGUCGUGUAAUUGUGUAAUACAAGAAGAUCGUGUAAUUGUAUAAUACAUGAAGGUCGUAUAAAUGUGUAAUACAUGAAGGUCGUGUAAUCGUGCAAUACAUGAAUGUCGUGUAAUCGUGCAAUACAUGAAGGUCGUGUAAUACAUAACCUUACACGACCAAAUCUUGUGUUACAUAACAAAAUUAUAAUCAGCACAAUUCAUUAAUUUUUCACAAUUUGCAUGCAGCAAAACAACUAGAAAUUUGUUUUCGAACAUGUUAUGAGAGACCUACAACUAAUUAAUCUAUUUUUUCAAUAUAAAACCCUAACUUUUUAUUUUUUUCCCUUGAAUAUUAACUAGAAAACUAAUUACAUGGAAUUACUUGUCUCAACUAGUUAUAUUCUGACAAUUUUGUAGUAAAUGAUCAACUCUCUCCGGCGAUUAUGUAGUGACGAACUAUGCUUCACUUUCUCAGUUGUGGCAGCUUCCCCUUCUCAGGCUUAGUUUGCUCGUGUUGAAGUUCGAUUUACCAUGUAUGGAGAAUGAAUGUUUGUUUCAGUAGAGGUGAUGCCAGUGAGGGAAUUGCAGAGGUGAUGCCGGUGAGGGAAUUGCAGUGUUUGUUUGUUUGAGUUUGAUAAUGGAGGGAAUUGCAACAGAUGAGUGUUUGUUUGCUUCACUAGAGAAGGGAGAGGUGCUGUCCGUUGAGUUGAAAUGUUUUAAAAUGAGGAUAGCUUAGUAAUUUUCUAUCAGUUUUUAAAGGAUAUCGAUAAAAAUUUUGGCAAAAACAGAUUUUAGGGUAUUGAGAUAAUUUUUGAAGUAUGGAGGUGUACCGGGCGCAAUUGGCACGAAAAUCUCAUGCAUGUGGAUGUGGGUCUCAUUUUAUUUGUUAUUUUUAAAUAUUAACAUUUAGAUCUUUUUAGUUGUGCAUUCAUUGCCAUACUAUUUUAGUAAACUAUAUUCAUUUUAUUGUAUUUUUUUAAGAAUUUUUUAAUUCGAAAUAAUUUUUUUAAUAUUGUUGAAAAAGACAGGUUAAAGUAAAAAAAUUAUUGACUAAAUAAAUAAAUAAAUGACAUUAUUUUAUUUUUUAACAUUAAAAAAAAACCAAUUUGUUGUAGUCCACUUAGGAUGUGUUUGAGAAUGAGGUGUUAUAUUUUAAGCUGCUAAAGUAAAAAUUAUAGCUGUGGAGUAAAAAUUAAAAAAAAAAUCUGUUAAACUACCAAAAUCCAACUACAAAUAUUACCAAACACCGUAAAACCCAAUUAACUCACCACAUUACCAAACGUACCAAACGGCCUUAGUCCUGCAACACUUGGAACGUUACCAAGCUUUUUAGAGCUGUACAUUUUGGACUCAGCUGUCCUUGUCAUUUCAAGUAAAAGUUGAAGCUGUCUCAAAAGUAAAAUAAUAACGUGCAUUUAAGUAACUGGCCUAAACUUCAGAAAUUUCAGAAGUUACAGUAUACGCAGGUCACAUCUAGGGCCAUUAUUAUUUAUUAGUUUAAUCAUUAAAUGACAAAAUUUUGCCAAUCUUGAGGGGGCUACUUAAAAAUGCAAGCAUCUCGUCCCUUGCCUGCUUCAUAGAUGCUCUUACUCACCCCCCCCCCCCCGUCAUCUCACUUGUGCAAACCAAAGAAAAAAGAAAGAUUAUUAUUUUCCAUUUAUUACACAAAAAACAAUAAUUCCUUUUUAUUGCUCCAUGUUUAUUAUUUUAUUCUAUUUCUCCAGAAUCUCUCUUUAUCAAUUAAAUUUAUGAUAUAGAUAUUGAAGAUUUGCUUCAAUCAGAAAACUUGUUCAUAUUUCUGGUCAAUAUAAUACAUCCCUUAAAAGGUAAAAAUAGGGAAAAAAAAAAACAAGAAUGAUGAUUUUUUUUUUUUUGGUUUUGACUGUUCUAGACAAUAAAGAAAUAUUUUGAAAGGGUCGGAGAUUACAAUGAAUCUAUACACUUGUGGAAAUUUUUUUAAGGCAUAAAUAAGUGCAACUUGAGAGCAUUUUGUUUUUUGUUCCACUAUAUAUUUUUAUACAACUGCCGCCUUAGAUUGGGUGCAUCACUUCAUUAUAUAAUCAAUAAAAAUUAAUUAUAUAAAUGGAAUCAUUCUCUAUUAUAAUUAUUCGACUUCAUGAAGUAACAACUGAUGUUUUUUACCACAUUGUCAAAAGAGUUCAACUUUUAUUUGAGAAUACACCAUAUAAAAGAACAAAUAAAAAUAAAACAAGAGUACAACAUAGAAAAGAAAAAAAUAAAACAAGUUUUAGAAUUAGUAGAUUAGAAUUGUUAUAAGAAAGAGUUGUCCCUAUAACUUCAAUAAGCUAGCCAUGUUUCUUAAACUUGUUUUACUAGCCUUACCAAACUUUUUCUAGUUGAUAUUCAAUUUUUUUUAAUUUUUUUUUUCUAGUCAAGCAUACUUAAUUGAACAGUCAAUUCAACAUGAAAACGAUUUGUCGCUUUACGAUCCUAAUUUUUAACCAGCCGUAAAUUUUAAUCUAUUAAAAAAAAUUAGUUGGUGGAAAUGUAAACAGAAGCAAGAAGGUUAGAAUUAAUAACUUUAUCAUGAAUAAUUAAUAUAAUUAGAAUUUAAUAAAACUAUAUGUAAAAGCUUAUUUCAAGAGCGAAAAUUUUAUUUUUUAUCAUUUUUUAGUGCUUAUAAUUAUAAUUUAAUCUAGAAGUAUUUUAAUUAUAAAAAAUAUUUUUAAAAAUAAGUUUGACGAAUAGUUUAGUGCUUAUAAUUAUUUUCUACUUAUAAUUAAGUUAAUAUUUAAUAGAAAGAACUAAAAUAAUAAAAGCAAAAACCUUUGCCCGGCAAUUCCUUGUUAUUUACAUUUUUGGCGCUGUCCUUGACAGAGGACUACACCGAGGAAUCUCAGGCCGCGGCACACGUGCGGCGGCUUCUCGACAUCGUCGCGUGCACCACACGGUUCGCCAAGUCCAGAAACUCCCGAUUGCCGCCAUCGUCAGAGUCAUGUGCCAAAAAGAACGGCAGUAGGCCCCACCAGCCUUCACCAAACUCUGCCGCUCUGUCUGAUGGAGCAGCAACAGCAGCAGCAGAUAACCGAAGCGGGCCCCGCGCCACGUCAUCGCCAGUUUCAUCGGCGGUUUCUCCGAGUCUGGACAUGGCGGCCAUUCACCCGACGCCGAAACUCUCCGAGUUUUAUGACUUCUUCUCUUUCUCUCACCUCACUCCCCCCGUCUUAAGUAAGCGUAAUGUUCAUUUAUUUAUUUGUCUUCGUUUCUUACAUGGUUGAUCAAAAAAAAAGAAAAAAAAAGAAAGAGGAAAAUGAUAUAAAUAUAUGUGAUUUAUUUGAAUAUGAAAUUUGUUUAUUGAUUUUAAUUUUUAAUAAUUUUGAUUUUGAAGAUUUGAGAAAAUGUGAACGCAAAGAAGGAGACAAGUGCGACGGUGAUUAUUUUGAAAUUCAGGUGCCAUUUAAUAUAAAGUUCUGAUUAUUGUUGUUUGUUGUUUAUGGACUAAUUAAUUGUAGAGUUAUUCAACUUGUUAUUUUUGCUGAUGAAUUGGCCAAUGAGUGUUAAAGAUUUAAUAAUCAUUGUCUGCUAAUUAAUAAGAAUGCAUGGAUUAUUUUCAUGUCUUUGUAAGUAAUGUGAGUAUUUGAAAGUGCGGGAAACUGUAUUUUGUGCUUACAGAUAAAAAUCUGCAAUGGAAAGCUUAUACAAGUAGUUGCAUCAGUAAAAGGGUUCUAUACUUUGGGAAAGCAGUUUUUCCAAAGCAACUCCCUGGUGGAUCUUCUGCAAAAUCUCAGUCGAGCUUUUGCCAAUGUGGGUACUCAAUAGUUGAAUCUACAGAUUAUUUUUUUCUUUUUUAUCUGAAUGCAUCUUUUUUUCCUCCGUAAAUUCAAUUAGCUUACCCAUCAAUUGUUUUGUUAAUAAUUAUGGUCAUUAUGCGUGAUGCAGGCAUAUGAAUCCCUAAUGAAAGCUUUUGUUGAACAUAAUAAGGUAACAAUUUCUGUGCUGACAUAGUUUAUUACCAAUUCAAAUGUGAUUUUAACUUGAUUUUACUGAUAUAGUAUAUUCAAUAUCCUUCUUCAGUUUGGUAAUCUUCCCUAUGGAUUUCGAGCUAAUACAUGGCUUGUACCUCCAUCUGUUGCUGAGUCUCCAUCAAAUUUCCCUUGCCUACCGGCAGAAGAUGAGAAUUGGGGUGGCAAUGGCGGAGGCCAGGGAAGAGAUGGAGAACAUGAUUUACGACCAUGGGCGACGGAAUUUGCUAUACUGGCUAGGCUUCCUUGCAAAACUGAAGAGGAGAGGGUGGUUAGAGAUCGGAAGGCCUUUUUGCUUCAUAACCAAUUUGUUGAUGUCUCAAUUUUUAAAGCUGUUGGAGCAAUACGCCGUCUCAUUGGUUCAAAUUUACACACUCAAGAUACAAUCAAUGUCCAAAAGGGGGCAAUCUUGCAUGAAGAUCGUGUGGGAGACUUGUCCAUUACAGUAAAACGUGAUACAGUAGAUGCAAGCUUGAUGUCUGAGGUUACUAUUAAAGGAAAUCAGUCAUCUGGUAUGUCUGCUGCAGAAGUUGCUCAAAAGAAUUUACUAAAAGGUGUUACUGCAGAUGAGAGUGUAGUUGUUCACGUAAGUCGAUUUCUCCUUUACUUUUUAUGCUUAUGUUCACAGAACACACAUAAAAGACAUUCAUCAAAGCCGAAAUUACUUGCGUGGGCGGAAUAAUAUAGCUCUACCUUUGUCAGGGAGUGAUUUUUCAGUCGGAUUAGGAUGUUUCCCUCUUUAUCUGAUAUCUGGCAUUUGAUGAUGGCCUAAAAUACCCAUCCUCUUCACUCUCUCUUUCUACACAUUUAUGAAUGCACAAGAAAGUCAAUUUUAGGUUCUUUCGUGAGAAUCACUACUCAUUACUAACCUUAUAUAUCUGGUUUAGCUUCAUGAAUCUUAUGUUGCCUUUCUGUUUGGUGACUCCCUAUUCUGUUGAAAUCACUUGAUAGCAGGUCUUUCUACUGAUUUUAUCCAUAUCCCUCUGAUUUUCUGCUCGUAGUUUGAUCCAGCUUAAUGUCUUGGGGAAGCCUAUUAACCUUGGUUGGGCAUGCUUGUAUUAUAUCAACUAGUGGUGCAAUUGCUAAAGUUUUCAGCAUGGUAGAUCUUGAAAUAUCCAGAUUUAUUUUUGUCAAAAUAUCUAGAUUUAUCUUCCUUUUCUUUUUCCCUUUCUUUUAUUUUAGUUUCAAAGAUUUUGUGAUAAAGAGAACUGAAACAAUAUAGUUUUUGGCAGGAUACCUCCUCAUUGGGUACUGUCAUUGUAAGACACUGUGGAUACACCGCUGUAGUAAAGGUUGUUGGUGAUGUGAAGGAGAAGUUUGGCACACAAGAUAUUGAAAUUGAAGAUCAACCUGAUGGAGGAGCUAAUUCUCUUAAUAUUAACAGGUUUGAAAUUGUAACACAAUGCUUCCUCUGUCGAUUCGUCUUAGCACACAAAGACUAGGAAAUCUACAGAUGGAGAAUGGCUGUAAGAUAUGAAAAAUUAUCUUUCAACCACUAACAUUUUUAAGCUAUUCUGCAAGAUAUCUUAGACAUACUAACUGGUAUGAGCUUCUUUGCUUAGUGUCUAUCACAGUUGAAUUCAUGAUGCAGAGCAUUGUUAUUCUCUUUAUUUUUACCAGAUAGAACAGGAUUGAAAUGGUGGUGUUGGGGAUUCUUAAGGAUAGCACCUGCUCCUUUUUCUUUCUGUUUAGAUGGGAUCUAAUCAGUAGAUGUCUGAACUCUUAAGGGGAGUUGAUGUCAGAUUUCUAAACCAGGUUUUCUUCAAGUGUUAAGUUUAUGAAUAGGCCAAAGAAAAGAAAGCUGAUAUCUAGUUAGGGAUAUAUACUCCUCUUUCAGUAUCCUGUGGACCAGAAAAUGGCUUUUCCUAUAUUAAAAUAUGUGUGAGAUCCUUCACUGUAUGGGGAUGCUUCACCUCUGCAUAGUUGUAGACCACCUAAAUAAUAACGAGUGGUUGCAGGAAACAUUAAGUCAUGGCUUUCACAAUAAUGGUUGAGUGUUUAUAGUUAUGUGCCCUGACAUUGGUUUGUAAUUGUUAUAUUAACAAAAUAACCAACAGACAUCGUUGACGAUGUUCAAAUAAAGGAUAAAGGAAAGUAUAAUUACAGUGCAUGCUCAGUUGCUGAAAUAGGUCAUCAGCUUUUUAGAUUGUGCUAUUUCAGAAAGUAUUUAGGCCUUCUUUGGUGGAUUCUGCCUUUGUUUCAUAUACUCUUAUGUCUUUCUCCAUUUAAGUUGUUCUGACAGGGUAAACUAUUUAUUGCAGCUUAAGGCUUGUGCUUCAAAAGUCUUUCAGUGCUGAAUCAGCUAGAGGAGACCAGUCAACUCUGUGCAAUUUGGAUAAUUCAGAAGCUUUUAGAAGUCUUGUAAGAAGAGUUUUUAAACAGAGUUUAGCAAAGUUAGAGCUGGAGCCAACUGCUUCAGAAAGAUCUAUUAGAUGGGAACUUGGUUCUUGUUGGGUGCAGCAUCUACAAAAGCACGAAACUCCAACAGAUACCAAGUCAACGAGGUCUGGGGAUGAUAUUAAGACUGAACAUGCUGUCAAAGGUCUUGGGAAGCAAUUUAAAUUUUUGAAGAAGAGGGAGAACAUACCUAACCUUGUUGGUAGCAUUAAUGAGGCUAACGAAAAUGACAAUGGACCAGCAUGAAUAUGGGAGGUAAUGGUAGACAGCAAAGCAAUGGCGAGCUGAAUUGUGAGAUGGAAUUGAAAACACUAAUUUCUGAAGAAUCCUUCUUGCGAUUGAAAGAAACUGGCACUGGUCUUCAUUCAAAGGUUUCAGAAUCUCAAAUUUGUUUUGCAUUUCAACUGUAAAGUUUGCUACUUUUUGUGUUUUCAUUACGCUAAAUUUGGUUUGUUUUAUUUUCAUAUGGAAUGACUGGUAAAAUUAAUUUCUUGUGCAGGCAGUGGAUGAGCUUAUGAAAAUGGCAUACAAGUAUUUAUGAUGCGAGAACUAGUCAAGGUAUGCUUGCAGAACCUGCUGUACCUUCGGCUGCUGCUAGAGUUCCUUGUGGGCCAAGGUCGCCUCUCUAUUAUAGAAAUAAUUAUUCUUACAUUAUGAAACAUGGAUUUCCAAAAUACCACUCUUCCAUUAUGGAAAGAAACCUGUUGGGGCCUUCAAGAAUCAUGAACCCGCAUGCACCCGAGUUUGUGCCAAUGAGAGGUUGGCAAAUAAAUCCUGGAUAUGCAGAUUCAAAUGUUUCAAAUGGGUCGAACUCUUCAAAUGACACAAGUGAGGCAGACGAUGAGAAACUUGACAAAAUGUCCAGUAUUCAAGGCGAGGAUAAUAC
Molecule: long non-coding RNA, 77449 nt
Filed under: Citrus x clementina
Lineage: Eukaryota; Viridiplantae; Streptophyta; Magnoliopsida; Sapindales; Rutaceae
Description: Citrus clementina (C. clementina) long non-coding RNA (CCLE_LNC001450)
Source: RNAcentral